This 53910-nucleotide long non-coding RNA is filed under the name Ananas comosus (pineapple). Its description in RNAcentral is "long non-coding RNA (ACOM_LNC033560)". Lineage: Eukaryota; Viridiplantae; Streptophyta; Magnoliopsida; Poales; Bromeliaceae. The record is from RNAcentral.
GAGUGUAUUCACAGUCCCUAGUGAGAUUGGGUCAGUGAGUGCGUUUUCUAUAUCUACAGAUAGUGGUUAGCAAUAGUAUAAUGACAUAUAUCUACAGAUAGUGGUUAGCAAUAGCAUCCUUUACUAUACUUGUGCAUACUUUCUGUAGACUUACACUCCGUUUGGCUCGGGUAUAAAGGGGGGGAUAAGGGGGAUAUCCCCCCCUUUAUACCCAAACAAAAAAAAAAAUGCGGGUGGGAACAAUGUUCCACCAUAACGGGUUGUACACGAUAACGGGUUGUACCAGGUACACCGUUAUGGUGGAACACUUGUUCGCCACCCGGGGUUGGAACAAGCUUGUUCCCCAAGCUUGUUCAACCCACUGAGUUAGAGAGAGAAGGAGAGAGAGAUUUUAAAAUUUAUAAUUUAUAAUUAUAAUUAAUAAAUUACAAUUUUAAUUUUAAAUUGAUAUUUUAAAUUUUAAAUUUUAAUUUGAUAUUUUAAGUUUCAAAUUUUAAAUUUAUUAAAAUUUAUCUGGUUUAAAUUUAAAGUUUCUAUAUUUUAUUGUUUAAAUUUUAAAUUUGAAAUUAUUUUAAAUUUUAAACUUUUGAAUUUUUAUAGUUUAAAUUUUAAAUUUUAAAAUUUUAAAUUCAAUUAUAGGGAUAAUAUUAUUAUUUUCUAUUUAUAACUACCAACUAUUCCUCUUAUUCCCAAAAACCAUCCAAACACAAUUUUUCUAGUUCCAGCUUAUACUCACAAUUUCAUCCAAACAAAAAAAUACCCUUAUUUCUACAAAAACUCAUGCUUGUACCUAUCCCCGGUAUAACUAGUUCCUACUAAUUCCCGAUCCAAACGGAGCCUUAGUGGGUGAGCCGUUGAGGUCGGUAGCGGUUCCCACUGAGAGCUACUUCUUUUUGCAAUAGUUCUCACACCCAGUUGUUUACCCCUUUUUGCAGAGCAUUCAUCUGCGGCUGCUGCUGUUACAGAUUCUAAUCGUGGAAAGGGAGUUGCGAGCUAGAUCCUUUCUAGUCUUACUACAGUGCUAGAGGAGUACAUUCCAUAGGUAGUUUUGGGGUAUUUUUGUACAUAUGGUUGUUGUCUGUGUACUCGCUGGAGCGAGUGGUGUAGUAGACAUUUUGUAUGUACUGGAACCCCUCGAGGUUUUUAUAUAUGUAUGUUUUCAGUUUAGCCGCUCUCUACCUUGUGGUUGUAGCUUGGUUAUGUUUACAAGUACAGCUAUCGCUUCGUAUACAGAAAAAAUUUCUAUAUAUACGGCGGGUCUGUUGGCAUGCCCGAAAAAAUGUGUAAUCCGGGGCGUGACAGAUUAAGUUGGUAUCAGAGUUUAGCGUUAGGUCGUUGGGACCUAGAAAACCUUAAGCUUGGCAAACCUCAGAAAAGCAAGACGUGAGAGGCAUGAUUUAUCGCGAAAGUCAGCGAUUGAAUUGUUUUAACUCCUCCUAGAGUGGAGUGAGUGACUGAAGGAGUGUCUGUUUCGGCCAAGAAAAUUAUGUCGACUGCAGACGACAUAUUUUGAGGAGAAAUAGGGGCGGCCUUCUAAACUUUCGCUUGAUUGGGUCGAGAGUUGAUUGUGUUUUGUGUCUGACCCUUGUUUUGAUUUCAGGUAGCCAUGUAUCGAUGCCGAGGUCGACCGUCGACACGGGAUCGUUCCGCGCUAUCAGAGAUGCUUGGGCAGGCAAGGUCGAGUGCACCCACAGAUUUGAGAGAGCAGUUGACUGCCCUGACUAAGGUGAUCAGGCAGUAGGGUGUGCUUUUGCAGAGGAUGUGCGAGAUUGUUACUUAGCGGUCGGGUGUUAAUCCAAGAGCAUCUGUGCAGCAGGCACUCUGGGAAGAGCAAGGAGCUAUAGCAGUUCAGGAGCCGUCAACGGUGCCAAUGCAGAGAUAGGAUAGAAAGUGCCCGGUUCUGGAUUAUGGAGAUCCUUUCAGUGGUAGACGUUCACCGAGGUCUCCACAAUCGUGCUCUCAGGGUCGUGGAUUCUCAUCACGACAGCGCUCUGGUGGGUCUUGUCCGCAGCGACAGCAGCAUAGGGUUCCACGGUGUAGCAUUUUUGGGGGACCAUACUGGCCUCGAUGGUGCGAGCAGAAGGAGGGCCGGUGUUUUAGAUGUGGACAAUCAGGGCAUCGACGGGUGGCUUGUCCUCGCGUAGCAUCGUCAGCACUUUCGACGGGGUCGGCCCCACUGGUAUCUUACUAGGCUUUUGAAAUACCGCCGAGCUACAGACAUGCAGAUGGAGUUGCUGUGCUGCAGCAAAGUGAGCAGCGAGAGCAGACAUCAAGUGGUAGCAGGUAUCAUUUUGAUUUCUAGUAUCUGGGUUCAUGCAUUAGUUGAUACCUGUGCAUCUCAUUCUUUUGCUAGUUAAGCAUUUGCAUCAUUGCAUGGUUUUGAGAUAGGGCCACUGUUGCAUGCAUGUGAGGUGCAAAUUCCUGAUCAUGGUUUGUAGGUGGCCGAGUGUUGUUGGUUUUGUCUAGUGAGAUUGGGCUUUUUGAUUUUGCCUACAGACCGGUUAGUCUUGGGGCAGUGUAGGACUUUUAUGUAGUGCUUGGGAUAGUUUGGUUGGCUUGGUACUAUGUUACGAUCGAUUGUGGAGCGAGGACAGUGACGUUCCGCGAGCCAGGCCAGAAUGAGUUCCCGUACAGAGGCUGCAGGAGUAAGUUGUUUGCCAUUUGGAUUUCGUCAGUGAGGGCUUGACAGCUGAUGAGUAGAGGAUGCGUCGCUUUUGUUGAGUAUUAUGUGUUGGCAAGUUUCGUGAACUGAGUCAAAGUCUUGAAGGGUUUGGUGCAUAUUGUCGAAGAUUGAAGAAUCCAAGACUUCGAAGAAAUCAGAAAUAUCUCAUGAUAUGAAUCGCGAUGCUCAGGUAAAGUAUAAAUUCAUGUUAUGGUGAUUUAUACUUAGUUAUAUACAUUAGAAUUAUGAAAAUCAAAGUUUAGUGGAUUAGAAAGUGCUUUGGAACUUUGAAACCGGAGAUUGUGAAAUUCUAAAAACUGCAGGUGUUAACCGGUACAACACUGAAAGAGUACCGGUACCGCAGCUAGUUCUGGUACGGCAUCAGCAUGUUAACCGAUUCUCAGUAUAUAGAAUUUUCUGUGUUGUCUUUUGGUACCGGUACCAACUUGAUAUAGUACCGAUACGCAGUGUAAAAAUCUGAAAUCUUUCUAAUCCGACUCUAACUGAUUCUAAGGUCUAUAAAUAAGCUAUUGGGGUUCUCUAACUUAUAGAACAUCACGAGAAUACCUGUUUGAGAAACUCUAGAGGCCAGGAUUUCGUUCUAAACCUAUUUUCUAUAAAGUAGCCUCUUUUAGGUCAAUUCGAGGUAUUGAAAAUUGAUAUCUAUAUGUCGAAUUGAUCUACACUUCGCUUAGAGAUUCUUCUCUGGUUUUCAUCAAUACUCUAAGCGAAGGAUCACCAUAAUCAUGAUGUUCUUCAUAGACGGCGUUGUGGAUUCGGCGUGAUCGAAGGCGGUUCGAGGAUUUGGAUCGUGUGCUCGUGGAUUCGAGUGGCGUUCGUGGAUUCGGGCGUGUGCAUGGCGUUCGUGGAUUCGAACGUGAGGGGGUGGACAACUCAGAGGAUUACGCGAGAUUCAUAGGAGGUUACUGUGGAGUCGGUAAUCACCUUGUAAUCUUUUCUCUUAGUGAAUUAUUUUUUCGCUUGUUGGUCCCGUGGGUUUUUUACUCCAAGUUGGAGUUUUUCCACGUAAAUCUCGGUGUAAUUUUUAUUUUCCGUAUUUAAUUUUUAUCGCAUUGAGAUUUUUGGUUUUUCGCCGUUAUACCUAUUCAUCCCCCUUUAGGUGUUUGAUACAAUCUUUAUAGAUCCUAGGGCUCCUCGUAACUUAUAGCUUUCUUGGCGACUGUAGUAGAAGUGUCUACGGCGGCGCUGGGACCCGAGGAUAUCCUUAUAGUCCGUGAGUUUCCUAAUAUUUUUUCCUUAGAGUUGACGACUAUGCCACCGGAUAGAGAGAUUAAGUUUGUGAUUGACGUAGUUCUUGGAACUGCGCUAAUCUCCAAGGCACCCUACCGAAUGGCACCGGCAGAGCUGAGAGAGCUGAAGGCACAGUUUCAGAAUCUGAUGGAUAAAGAGUAUGUGAGACCCAGUGUAUCGCCUUGGGGAGCGCCGGUAUUGUUUGUAAAGAAGAAUGAUGGUUUACUUAGGUUGUGUGUGGAUUACCGGGAGCUGAAUAAAGUGACCAUUAAGAACAAGUAUCCUUUGCCGCGCAUUGAUAAUCUGCUCGAUCAUCUGCAAGGAUCUUGUGUCUUUUCGAAGAUUGAUCUCCAGUCAGGUUUCCACCAGUUGAGGGUGAAGGCCGAGGAUGUUCCUAAGACUACUAUUCGAACUCGGUACGUGCAUUCUAAGUUCACUGGAAUACCUUUUGGAUUGACGAAUGCCCCUGCCGCAUUUAUGAAUUUGAUGAAUAGAGUGUUUAAGCUGUUCUUGGAUAGAUUUUGGUUGUGUGCUGAUGCAGCAUAGUAGGUUAAUUACUUAUGCUUCUCGAAAAUUAAAGGAUUACGGGAAGAAUUACCCUACGCAUAACUUGGAACUUGACGCGGUGGUUUUUGCUUUGAAGUUUUUGCAGCACUACUUGUAUAGCGAGCACUGUGAGGUUUUCACUGAUCAUAAAAGUCUCAAGUAUUUGUUCACCCAAAAGGAGUUGAAUCUGAGGCAACGCCGGUGGUUGAAGUUAUUGAAGGACUAUGAUGUUAGUAUUCAGUAUCACCCAGGCAAGGCGAACAUGGAGGCAGAUGUGUUGAGCAGAAAGUCAGUGCAGAGCUUGAGCAUGUUGAUUACUAAGCAGAGGCCGUUACUUGAGGAGCUGCAGCGGUUGAGACUCGAGGUAGUGUCCUCUAGGUCUACUGCAAGACUGAUGUUUAUGGUCUUGCAGCCCACUCUGUUAUACAGGAUCAGGGAGAAACAGAGUGGAGACUCUCACUUGUUGAGGAUUCGAGAGCAGUUGGAGAGGGGACAGACAGAGUCUUUUUUUAUGGACAGUUCGGGAGUACUGCGAUACAAGGACCGACUGUGUGUGCCUAUGGAUUCAGAGAUCCGAGAGAAAAUUUUGAGAGAGGCUCAUUACUCACCUUAUACAGUUCACCCUGGUGGAACCAAGAUGUAUAAGGACUAGAAGGCACACUUUUGGUGGAAUGGAAUGAAGAGGAAUAUUGGCAGAUUUGUAGCUUAGUGUCUGACUUAUCAACAGGUAAAGGCAGAGCAUCAGAUACUUGCUGACAAGCUCCAGAGUCUGCCAGUGCCCGAGUGAAAAUGGGAGUAGAUUACGAUGAACUUUGUCGUGGGAUUGCCGAGAACAUAGGGUGUUUUCGAUGCUGUUUCGGUGAUAGUGGACAGACUGACUAAGUCUGCUCACUUCCUACCAGUAUAGACCACCUGGUCCAGGGAGAGACUCGCUCAGCUAUAUUUGGAUGAGAUUGUGAGGAUGCAUAGUGUGCCUACUUCGAUAAUAUCGGAUAGAGACCCGAGGUUGGUUUCGCACUUUUGGAUGAGUCUUCAGACAGCCUUGGGUACACAAUUGCAUUUAAGCACGGCGUUUCACCCACAGACAGAUGGUCAGUCAGAGCGGACCAUUCUGACUCUGGAAGACAUGCAGAGGGCAUGUGUCCUGAACUUUGGAGGAGGGUUGUAUCGACAUUUGAGAUUGGCUGAGUUCGCGUACAACAACCGCUGUCAAACGAGCAUUCGGAUGGCUCCAUUUGAGGUGUUGUAUGGAACUAGGUGUCGAUCCUCUUUGCAUUGGAGUGAUGUGGGUGAGAGGAUCUGAGACCUGAGAUUCUGAUAGAGGCAGAGGAAAAGGUUAAGAUUGUAUGACGACAUAUUUUGGCAGCCCAGAGUUGACAAAGGAACUACGCCGAUACUAGGAGACGAGACUUAAAGUAUCAGGUUGGAGACCAUGUGUUUUUGAAAGUCUCGUCAUCCCGAGGGAUACACAGAUUAGGGGUACGUGGAAAGCUCAGUCCACACUUUGUAGCCCCUUUCGAGGUAUUGGAGCGAGUUGGACCAGUAGCAUAUAGGAUUGCUCCACCCCCACGACUAGCCGGUGUUCAUGAUAUUUUUCACGUCUUAGUAUUGAGGAGAUACGUGUUCAACCCCUCACACGUGAUUGACUUCACUCCACUGGAGCUUGGCGAGGAUUUGAGAUACGAGGAGCGACCGGUGCUGAUUCUGGCUCGUUAGACGAAAGAAUUACGCAAUCGGGUCAUCCCGUAUGUAAAAGUGCAAUGGAGCAAACACGAGGAGUAUGAAGCGAGAGCCGGAGACGGUGAUGCAGAAGUCCUACCCUUUCUGAUUGAGAUAUACGUUAAGUUUCGAGGACGAAACUUUUUAUAGUGGGGGAGGAUGUAGUAUCCCUGAUUUUUGGGUUGCCCGUGGAUCUCAACAUCUGAGGCUUAUCGACAUAUCUGGAGAGUGUCGGAACAAGUCAGAGUCGUUUUGGCACGAAAUGGACGCAAAACGGACUCAGCGUGACGUGAGAGUAGUGUAUUGACAUUGGAAUCUGCAAAGUGCAGGUUUUCAGUAUUGAGUAUCGAUACCGCGCAGGAGAGUACGGUACCCCAGUGUAAAUCCUGGACAGCAUGCUCUCGGGUUCCGCCAAUUGAUGUUGAGUACCGGUACAGCAUCGGGCUGGUAUCGGUACCUGGUGUGCGAGCUUGUGGGCUGAGAGGCCGAGUACCGAUAAACAAAUCGGGUACCGGUACUCCAGCUAGAAUUUUGAGUUGGUAAGGGGUAUUUUGGGUAGAGAUAUGUCGAUACCUUCAAUCUUAUCCCAAUCGCUUUAUAUUUGUGUAGAGAUGCAGAGAGUGAGCUUCUGGUUGCUACUUCCUCUCUCUCUCUAGUUGGAGUCGACACUCGGGGUGGAGUCGCGGCUCGAGCUUGGGAGUUUGUCGCCGUUGCGCCGGAGGGUCAUUCGAGCGUGUAGGCAUCGCGGUUGCGUCGUUGGAGACCGGGCUAGCGCGUGUUUUUCCUCCUUUUGACUUCUCGCCGUAGUUGAACAAGCUUUUCGAGGUGGUUUGAUGUUUACCGAACUCGUCGGAUUUUCUUCUAAGUUUUAUCAACGUCAACAUGUGUUUCUUGGUUCAUUGGUUUAUCCUGCUAGUACUCGAAUUCAUGGAAGUUAUAGGUUAUGCUAUAGAAUCUGAAUUUGGAGAUAAGCUAGUAAUUACGCUUGUUGGACUUGGAAUUGACUUAGGAAAACACUUGUAGAUCCUACAUUGUCAUUUCUGAAAAUUACCAGAUUUAGCUUUAGGAGCUAUUGUUCGUUUGUAUCGCCGUUGUUUGUAUACGAUGGAUACCUAGAUUAGUGUAGGGUGAGUUUACGCUCGUGCUGGGAUGCCAAACUUAUUUUACAGUAGUGUGUAGACUGUUUUGGACUGUCGGUGCCGUCGGGGUUGACGGUGGACCCAGAUUUCUGUAUCAUCGCUGUUAGUGCGAGGUGGAUACUCAGAUGGGUGUAGGUUGAGUUUACACUCACGCUAUGGAGCCGAGUGUGUUGUUACAAUAGAGUUAGACUGUGUUGGAUAGUCGGGUGCCGUCGGGGUUGACGGUGGACCAGAGUUAUGCGGUUGCAUCAGAUUGUGCCAAGGGCAAGUGAGUUUUGGUGGAUAAAUCAUUUUGGCCCUUUACAGUGAUUACAGCCUGUGAGAGCAUAAAUGAACUUCGCAGAGACACUUGUAAACCUGGUUGGGUCGCGCCCACGAAUGCCAUUCCGGAAUGAGGUUUCAGUGCGAUGAGUGUCGCAGUUUCUGUUGGGACGGUUCUUGAGCUGUAUCAGGCAGGGUGGAUCCGUUUGGGCAGCUCGUGCGAGGUUGGGUCAGUGAAAGUUAGUGACAUCUUUCUCUACCUUCAUUGAGGUUGUGUUGUGUGUUGAGUCGCAGCAGUCCUGUCGGACCUUUUUACUUGGACCGGCUACUCUUGGGAUACGGUGUAGCCUAGAUAGGCGAAAUUGGUGUAUUUACAGUCCCUAGAGAAUUUUCUCCACCGGCUAAUUUUGGGGUGGUAUACGAGUUCGCUUCGAUAGGUGGGAUGAGUGUAUUUACUGUCCCUAGUGAGAUUAUGUCAGUGAGUGCAUUUUCUAUAUCUACAGAUAGUGGUUAGCGAUAGUAUAAUGGUAUAUAGCUAUAGUGUUUUACCAGUAUCAUUUACUAUACUUGUGCAUACUUUCUGUAGACUUAGAGGGUGAGCCGUUGAGGUCGGUAGCAGUAUCCACUGAGAGCUACUUCUUUUUGCAAUAGUUCUCACACCCAGUUGUUGACCCUUUUUGCAGAGCCUUCGUCUGCGGCUGCUGUUGUUACAGAUUCUGAUCGUGUAAAGGGAGUUGCGAGCUAGAUCCUUUCAAGUCUUACUGCAGUGUUAGAGGAGUACAUUCCACAGGUAGUUUUGGAGUAUUUUUGUACAUAUGGUUAUUGUCUGGGUACUCGCUGGAGCGAGUGGUGUAGUAGACAUUUUGUAUGUACUGGAACCCCUCGAGGUUUUUAUAUAUGUAUGUUUAUAGUUUAGCAGCUCUCUACCUUAUGGUUGUAGCUUGGUUAUGUUUACAGGUACAGUUAUCGCUUCGUAUACAGAAAAAAUUUAUGUAUAUGGUGGGUCUGUUGACGUGCCCGGGAAAUGUGUAAUUCGGGAUGUGAUAGACAGUGACGACGAUUCCUUUUGUCAUAGCAGGGGGGGAGGUGGGCAUGCAUUUGUGAAAGAAAUGGAGGGAGGUGAAAGUGUACAGGAAAAGAUAAAGAAGAGAGAAUUGGUAAAUUAAUUGAAAAUAGAGAGUUGGGGAUUAUAGAUAGCAGCGGGCCGUUUGGAUGCAUUUGUCACGCCCCGGGGUCCCUUUUAUAAAGCCAUUUGAAAAGAAAGCCGAGUCAAAGCCAAUGAGUCAAUGAAAAAUACCCUUUUUUUAAAAAAAAAAAUCUUGACUGAAGGGAUGACAGAGCCGCCACAAAUACGGAGAAUCCUUUGUCCACACAGAAUCUCCUCUAUAUUUGCACUGCGUCGCACAUAGUACAAAUCACAACUACAUCCAUUCACAAUUUACAAUCACAACGGUAUAUCACAAGAUUCCACAUCUACCAGUUGAAAGUGCUUUCCAUCGAAAAACUCAUUUUGAAAUACUAGGAUCACGAAAAGCUGAAAAACUCUUUUAAAAACUGUUUUACACACGUAAACCUUUUAUCUUUAGAAGCAAGCUACUACGAGGGAUAGAAAGUCAUUUUUCAUAGAUCCACACGAUUUCAAAUCAAAUUGAACCUUAAUAGUCUAAUUAUCAUAAAAAGAAAGGGCAGCCUAAACAAAGAUGCCGCCGGGUCGGGACCUCUAAUGUUCGCUAGAUAUGGGCCUUACACCUCAUCUCGACUCGUACUUUCAAGAUUACUUUGAAUCGUGGGAGGGAGGGAGGGAUGGGAGGAGGGGGGGGGGGGGGGGGGGGANNNNNNNNNNNNNNNNNUGCUAAAGCCAUUUAUAAUUGGUUGGAGCUUGCGAGCAGGUUGUGUUCGAUCUUCAGCUUCCUUCUUUGGGACGCGAUCGAGCUUGAGUUUGCCCGAAUUGGCCUUAACCGGUGCCGUGUGUUCGUUAGGAGGUUCAACUGCUUUUUCUUCUAGUCGAGCAUGGCGGUUGCCGAGGUGGCCCUGUUGGGUGCGCGAGCUUGUUGGGAGAAUGCUAGUUAAGGUUGGUCGAUCCCUCUCCCUUCUUCUUCUCUUCGAUUGUCGGAAGAGGUUCGAAAGAUACGUAUAUUUAUCCGACUCCCAGCCAACCUUACUUACUACGUCGUUUUACUGGUUUUCCGGGGAAUGGUUGAGUGAAACGACGGACCUCAUGGCUAUGAGUUGAACCCAUGGCCAUGAACCGUAAGUUGCUCGUUAGGGCGUGCGACUCAUGGCCAUGAUCGGGCUACGUCAUGACCAUGAGUGGUUGUCCAUGGCCAUGAGUGGUAGUUUGACGCGUUUGGACUCUCGUAAAUCAAAACAUUAGAGAGACCCCUUGACCAUGAGUUGUGACUUUAGGACGUGAAACAUCUGAAGUUACAGUCUUGAGGUGAGAACGUGACUUUAGGACGUGGAAACAACCACAGAUUUCCUUCUAAGUCAUAGAAUUGUUAGCAUGUAUUUCUUGGUUUUGUUCACUAUGUUUAGUAGCUCGAAUUCAUAGAUUUGCAUGUCUUUUAUGAAAUCUGGAUUUGGAGCUUAAUUUAAUAAUUUUAGAAGAUUUGUUACAUGCUGAACUGGGAUUUGACUUAGGAGAAAACUCGUUAAAUCUACACUAUCAUUUCUCAAAAAGUAACCGAAUUAGUUUCAAGAGCUGUUAUUAUUUUGUAUCACCGCUGUUAGUGCGUAGUGGAUACUCGGAUUAGUGUAGGUUAAGUUUAUGCUCGUACUGAGGGGCCGAGCUCAUUUUACAGUAGUAUUUGGACUGUUCUAUACUAUCGGGUGCCGUUGGGGUAGACGGUGGACCUAGAUGUUUGCAUCUUGUUUCAGAUUAUGCCGAGGGCGCGUGAGCUUUGGUUGUUAGACCAGUUUGAUCCAUUUGCAUUGACUAUAGCCUGUGUGAGCCUGAUUGAGCUCGACAGAGACACACUUGCAUACUUGGUUGGGUCACUCCCACGAGUGCUGCUCCGGAGUGAGGCUUUACUUGUGUUGGCGUCGUAGCUGUCCUGUUUGGGUAGUUCUUGGACCGGCCACCCCCGUGGGUGGUGUGCAGUGUAGCUCAGGUACAGGCUGAACGGGCCAGUUGGCAGUCCCUCGAGAUUAGGUCAGUGUAUAGCUAGUGAUGCAUUUCUGUUUCUACAAUGAGCCUGGAUUGAAUAGCUGUAGUAUAGUGGUAUAUAGCUGUAGAGUUUCCUCCAGCUUUCUUACUAUCCUUACUUAUUUGUAUCUUACUUAUACCGUAGACUUAGUGGGUUGGCCGUUGAGGUCGGUGACGGUACCCACUGAGGACUAUUCUGUUUUGUAGUAGUUCUCAUACCUAAUUAUUGCCACCUUUUUGCAGAGCCAUCCGCUGCUGCUACUGUUGCUGAUUCUGAUCAUGGUAAGGAAGUUGCGAGCUAGAUCCUUACUAUCCCUGGUCCUUUGCUAGAGGAGAACCCUUCAGAGGUAGUUUUUGGGGUUUUUCUAUGUACAUACUGUUAUACUAGUGGUACUGGCUGGAGCUAGGUGGUUUUAUAGCUUUUGUAUGUAAAGUGGACCUUUUUAUGUUUUAUAUAUACAUGUUUUAGUUAUAGCAGCUCUUUACCUCUUGUGUAGCUAUAUUCUGUUUAUUGGUACAGCUAUCGCUUCGUAUACACGAAAAAUUUCUAUGUAUUUGGCGGAUCUGUUGGCGUGCCAGGAAAACGUGGUAACCUGGGGCGUGACAAAGGGUCUCCAAAUAGGUACCGCAAGUCGAUGCGGGCGAGUGUACUCACUGGUAACCAAAAGUGUAGCUAUGAAAAGUAAUACAGUAGCAAAGUAAAAAAUGAAGAAAUAUACAUGUACAACUACUGCUACGGUAAGUAAAAUGCAUCAAUCGGAUAAUAGUCCCAAGUACCCAAUCCAGAUCCGCUAUGUCAAUCUAAAGACCUCGAGCAACUGUCAUGCUGCUCUAAAUAGCAUAUAACCCUAGCAUAAGCUCCUGGGCUCAGGGGUCAGAAGUCUGACCGCUUUUCUGAAAAAGAACACUGUUACAGUUACCAAACCACUGGUGUACGUGAAAUGCGUACGAUCAAUGGCGAUCGAUACAAAUAUGAUCAAUAGCUUUCAGCAAGUAGCCAAUAAUCAAACCCCUCAGGGUAUACCGACCGAAUAGGCCAUCGAACAACGAAGGUCACAGAACCGACCAACAAGGUCACAAUGGAUGUCACAAAUUCACGGAUACAAUAAAUAACCGCUUUACUUCUAGAUCAUGAUAAACGUAUAUAAAAGUAAUUGAAUAGAGCAACAUGCAAUGAAGUCAUAUGGUGCCAGGCUCAACAAUUAUAAGUAAUUCAAGAAUAUAGAGAGAGAAGAUGGAGGGAACGUCACCAAGCGUGCACCACUAGACCGAUAUUCGGUCUCUAUAAAAUGUUUUGAACCUUGGGCGAUCAGUCCAGAGGUCACCUUCCAUACAUACAUGCUGCCCACAGCAGCCGCAAGGUGACAAAUUGCAUAAAAGCACCUAUUAUUAUUCACAAUUACAAUAAUAUAUGCAAAACAAGGAAUUUUAGAGCUUUGUACUGCUAACUGAGUACUUUCAAGUUCAGCUGAGACACUGGAUGAUAGGUCUCGACGAGACGGAGACCGUGCACGCUAUCCAGAACACCACGAAUCGCUGUGGAAUGCGUGGGAGCAAGUUGAAGUUCUACGAACAAUGCACACCUGGAGCGACAAGGCCGAAAUCAAUGAUUCGGGGCUUCUUCGACAGCAAGUCAGGUGAGCAUUGCAAUCAACGUUGUCCAGGGGUCAGCGUGCUCACCUCCCAAGGUGUCGGAUCAGCCCCAAGUUACUGGAAUAGUGAGAACACAAGGAAAAAACCUUAACUGGGCAGGCUAGGAUCAAUGGGGGCCAAGCCCGGUUGGCGGCAGAUGAGCCGACGACAGGGGGUUGUGGCUAAUUGGGGAAGGUCGUCGCGAGCGCUAACCGGCGGUGAGAGGUGGCGGCGGCGGAACAGGACCAACCCGAGGCCAACUCAGGCUUGGCUGGAGUUCACUGGUUUGCUACGAUACUGGCUGUAGUCGAAAAGGAUGGGGGCGACAAUGGGGUCUCACCCGGAACCGAAAGGAAAGGAAGGUGACGACGAACAGUGGCGGAGGUGGUGGCAUGGUGCGGUUCGGCCGCCUGUGCCAUAGGUCGAACUAGGGAGGCCCCAGAGACUGUGGUGGCGCUUGGCGGCAAUCGGGCGUGACAGGGGUCAACGGCGAUGGGUUGUCGGAGGCUAAGGGAGGUGGCACCAGGGGUCAGCAGCGGCGGGGCCGUGGCUAGGAGAGGAUUGGGUUAUCCUCAGCGCUUGCUGCCCGAGAGUUGAUUCCGUUGGCAAUGGCGGCGGCGGCGGGACACGGGGGCACCGGGGAAGCACGUCGGAGGUCAACGGUGAUAGGAGAGGCCGAGGGUGGAGGGCUCGGGUCACCCUUGUGCUCGGGCUCAAGAAUAAGAGGGGGGAGAGGGAAAAUAAGAGAAAGGGAGAAAGGGGAAAUUUUUUCGAUGGCUGGAGGUAGUCGCCGGCGUCCGGAGGUGCGCGACACAGGCAAAGAUCCUCAGUCCUUAUAUACGGACAUUCAUUUAUUAAAACAACUAAGAAAAAAAAACAUAAAUAGUAAAUUUAUUACUUAUUUAUAUAUCCUUACACAUUUAGAAAAUUAUUAAGUGCAUGUUGGUACGGGGAUAAGUAGGAACGCCAACGGUCAGCUUUGAAAUGGAUUUUCAAAACCCAAAUUCGAACUCGACUUUAAAUUCAAAAUCCGAACAUAAAUUCGAAUUCGAAUUCGAAAUCCGAACAUAAAUUCGAAUUCGAAUUCGACGGAUUUAAAAAUCAUAUCCAAACUCGAACCCGACAAAAAAUUCGAAGCCCGAAUCCGAAUCCGAACCCGAAAAUCCGAACUUGAAAUAAUUAUUUCUCUUUUCAAUAUUUCAAAAUAUAUUACAUUAAAUCUAAAUUUUUAAAAUACAAAUUCAAAAAUAACAUUAAAUUUUUAUAUACAUAUUAUAUAUAAUGUAAAAUAAAUUCGAGUUCGAGUCGGAUUUAGGUUAGGUUCGAGUUCGGAUUAGGUACAGUCAAAAUUUAUAUCCGAAUCCAUAUCCAUUAAGGUUUUGCUUUUGAUAUCCAUAUCUGAAACCAUAUUCAUUUAGUAUUAGAUAAAUCUGAUUUGUUCGGAUUCGGAUUCGAAUAAAAUUUCAGAUAUCCGUAUCCAUCGACAUUCCUAGAUAUAAGUUGAGAUGAAAUCAUUAGGUGAAUCAAAUUAGCUUAUCAGAUUGGACUACUAAAGGAAAGAAAGAAUCUAUGGAUAUAUUUAUGCUCAUAAAAUAAGAGAAAAUGUAUAAAAUAUUCAUGAACUUUAGCUCUUUUACCAACAAACCCCUUAAAUUAUUAGUUUUGGCAACUACACUUUUUAAGCUAUAUCAAAUCGUUUAAUAGAGCCUUCUCCUCGUACCGAGUACUAGAAUGUCUCGCACAUAAUUUUGUUAAAUUUUAAAAUCCAAAGAAAUUAACCUCUUAUUUCUUCUAGUUAUGAUAACAAAGAAACAAGAUUGAAGAGUAUGGUGACCUAUCUUUGAAUUAUACUUCAAAAUUUUAAUAUAUAGAUUAUAUGCAAGAUAAGCAACUUGAACAAAUGUAUAAUUAGUAACUUUAAUUAAACAGAUUAGUCUACUGAACUAUUUAAGAAAGUUAAAUUAGAAGUUCGGUGUUCUAUUUACAAAAAAAAAGAAAGUUUGUAGGAUUUUUGUACUCCUAAAAAUAAUUUGCAAAAUGCUACUUUUUUUUAGCUCUCGUAGAUGUCUAAAUCUUAUACCUCUACAUCUAUAGAUUGAUAAAAAUUCUUUUGGAUUUUAGUUAAAAUAAAAUAGAGCCAUAUUUCUAGCUAGUGGGAUGUACAUCUUACGUACUCUUCAUUUAAGGAUCAUCAUUUUCUUACUUAUCAUAUUAUUUUUUAUUUUUCUACUAUAGCUCAUUUGGAUUUUUGUGAAUCAUAGAAUAGAGGGUGUAAGAUGUACACCCACUUUUAGAGUGUGCAAAUAAAAUUUCUCAAAAAAAUAAUUAUGUCAUAUCCCUAAUUAUAGCGGAAGCUCAUGUUACGUCAACAGAGCUGCCGCAUGCAUAAGAAUACACCUUAUAUACACGAAGCGUCAACAAAUAUCAGUAUAAAAAAGUUUAUUGAAUCCAACAAUAGUAGGUAUCAGAGUAGAAUAAAAACUAUGUACUAUAGCAACACUGUAAAUAUACAAUCAUCACCAUACUUAUCCUCAAAAUGGUACAACAUUUUAGACCUACUCCACACUCCAAACAUUGUACAGACUGUUAUAUAUACUGAUAGUUGGUCUAACUACAUAAUAAAAAUAAUAGGAGAUGCUAACUAUCCGCGAUCCCCUUAUCUUGAUCAAUCGUUGGUGCUGAAGGCUCGAAAAUAAAAUAUUAAUAAAGAAGGUAUGAUAACUAUAAUCAAUAGUCCUUCAGUGGGUACGGUCGACAACAUCAAUGAUCUACACCACUAGGUCCAUAAGAGACAGAAUGUAGUGUUUCUGAGCUUUGGAUAGAAUUGGCUUCAGUGUUAAUGACUGGUCGACACAUUUGGAGAGUGUCGGACUGAGUCGGAGUCAUUUCUGCAUGAAAUGGAUGCAGAAAUGGACUCGGCGCACUCAAAUAAGAAAACUGGAGUUUUGCCAGAUUCGGGCGCCCAAAACAGGUCUUGGGUCGCCCAGAAGUUGAGUACAGAUUUGAUCAGAAUUGGAAGCCAAUUCAGAUCCUAUGUUCCGGGCGCCUAGAAGUGGGUCCGGAAAUUUUACAUCGUGAUUAUCGUUUGUGUUGACACGUGGCUGGUGGUAGGUGAGAUCCGCCGGAGCCGUUUACGAGCGCAGCACACCGCGAGCGGAGAGUCCAAGGAGGAAGAUUUGUGCAAUCCGGAGGUUUCGGGCACCCAGAAUUGGGUUUUGGGCGCCCAGAAAUGACCGUUUCUGCAGGAACACCAAGUUAGCAGCUUUUGAACCUGGGGUUUAUUUUAUCCUUCCAACACCCUAUAAAUAGGGGGAGCUUGACCCCAGUGAAGCCUUUUUGUCCAUUCUUCACAGUGAACCCUUAAAUUGCAUUCCCAACCCUCAAAUCUCCUCAAAUUGCUUCAAGAUCCACAAUUCCCAGCUUGAUAGGUGCUGAUUCUGCAGUUCUACAGCGACGACCUCCAGUGUUUUGGCUCGUACGCGACGUAGGAAGGUCGGAUCAUGGUGAAACUUGAUUUUCUGGAUUCUAGACUUCCAGAGGAAUCCACGAAGCCCUGAAUUGCAGAUUUUGGUUGAGGUUAGCUUGGUCGAACUGAGAUUUUUCUGGACUGUUGUUGACAUUGAGCUGAAAAUAAGAUCUUUGAGCUUUUCUUGAUGCUAUCUUUGUAGACAGUGGGAUUUUGGACCUGAGACGCAUCACCCAUCAGUAUUUGCUGGAUUUGGGACUGUCCUCACCUGAUUUGGAGAUCGUUAGGUGAGUUUUGAUAUGGGAGUUGAGAUAAUUAAGCUUAAAUGCUGAAAUUUUUGGUGAAUUGAUGGUUUUUGUUGGAUUUUAGGUGUAGAUCCUUCGAGUAGCUUUGUUGCUGGUUGUGGGUGUUCUCGGUUGAGACUUUCAGCAAUUCGUGACCGUCUUGCUGCCAGGGAAUUGCACUAGAGGUGGGUUUAUCAUCGGUUUGGCUCCUAAGUAUAUGUAUAGUGAACAUGUAUAGUUUCGACUUCGGAAUAUCUGUUGUAGCUCGAAUUCAUCGAUGAGUAUGUUAUAUAAAUCUGAAUUUGGAGCAUGCUUAGAAAUUAGUUGAAUAUACAUGUUGGACUUGGAAUUUGACUUAAGAGAAAACCUGAGAUUUGAACCUAUCAUAUGAUUCUACUUCUGAUUUAGCUCUAGAAGCCGUGAUUUGAUCGUAUCACCGCUGUUUCAGCGCGGUGGAUAUCCGGGGUAGUUUAGAAUGCAUUUACGCUCGUGCUGGGAUGCCGAGCUUAUUUUUACAGCAGUGUCUAGGCUGUUUCGGAUUGUCGUGUGCCGUCGGGGUGGACGGUGGACCCAGAUUCCUGUUUUUGGUAUCAGAUUAUGCCGAGGGCACUUGGGUUCGAUUUCUAGACCUGUUUUGACCCUAGCUACUUGUCUUUGUCUUUUUAGAGCCUGAUUGAGCUCGACAGAGAUACGUUGCAUACUCGGUUGGGUAGCUCCCACAAGUGCCACUCCAGAGACGGGCAUUGUGCUUUCACGUUGGUGUCGUUCAUGCUGGUUAGAUUUACUCUCCACGGACUGGAUAGUGUGGAGGUAGCUGGAUAGUCUCAACUGGGUGGGACGGGUGUGUUCACAGUCCCUGGGACGGGUAUGUUUACAGUCCCUAAAGAGAUUGGGUCAUGAUUGACAUUUCUACAGUAGGUUAGUUUAAAGCAUGAUAGUGUAAUAAAUAGUAGCUGUAGAUUUCAUUCCAGCAUUUAUUACUACCUUUGCUCCCUUUUGUAGACUUAGUGGGUGGACCGAUGUUGUUGAAGGCGGCACCCACUGAGGACUACUUGUUUUACAGUAGUUCUCACGUCCUGUUGUUACUCCGUUUUUGUAGAGCCAUCGUUUUCGGCUGCUGCUGUUGUUGAUCAGGAUCGAGGCAAGGGCGUCGCGAGUUAGAGCCCUACCCGACGAGCCGAGCUAGAGGUGCCCCUACACCAGGUAGUUGUUUUUGUUGGAGCUCAUGUACAUACAUAUAUUAACUCGCCAGUGCGAGUAGUAUUGUAUCUUGAAUUUGGCGUAUGUAUAUGGAACUCGGUUUGUUUUUGUUACUGGUUCUUCUAGCAACUCUAUACUACUGUUUGUAGUAUUGUAUGAUUUACAGAUACAGCUAUCGCUUCGUAUAUAGAGGAAAUUCCUUUGUAUACGGCGGAUUUGUCGUCUCGUCCAGGGAACGAGUAAUCCGGGGCGUGACACAGAAAUAAUAAAUAAUUGAGUGGUAUCAAUGAACAUGUAACAAUAUAAAUAACUAUUGAAAAUAACUACUGCUAUCAUACUACUAUAAUAUAACUAAAAAAUGUAAAUUUUGUAUCUUAUGCAUCAACUACGUACAUACUGAAUAAAAUAAUACAAUAAUAUCCAAUCAUAGUGAUCGAGUGAACAGUCAGGUCCAGCUUGCACCAUCUCGUGUUCAGCAUCCACCUAUAGUGGUCUACUAUCACGCAGACUACUAUAUGACCUAUGCCAUAAUAAUAACUCAUAGUCUAACCUCCGGAAUGGCACUCGUGAGGUGCUACCCUAAUCCAGUAUACUAUCACUAUCAAGCUCAAAAUAGCAUACAUACUGUAGUCAAAUGCGAUGAUCAAACAAAUCAUGAUAAUACUGUCACAGUGUCCCAAAUACAGUUAUAGUCUCACACUAUCUACCACUGUCUAUUGGCCUCCAAGACAAUGUCACAUAAUAUUAUAGUGAAAAAUAUACAUAUUUCAAUACACUCUCUACAGGUACGUGUCGAAAUAUUAGUAUUAAUUAUAUCAACAGUUCAUCUUAUAGACUAAAUAAUAUAAUAUGAAUAUAGAAGCUAGCCCGUCAAUUUUGAUGACACGGAAUCCAUCUAUAUCAGCUCAAAAAAUUCAUCGUGAAAAUCACAAGAAAUCAACUCCUAAAACGUAUAAAAAAUUAAUUUUUAACUCUUAAUUUCGUAAAAAAUUUUCAAUCUAAGCGAAAAAAUAAUAAUAUUACGAUACUAACCCCGACGUCAAGUGAAAAAAAACACGUGCCUCACUCAUUGCAAAAGAAUGUACCGUAGCUUGCUUUCCAUUUAUUUUUUGUUCCUCUAUCAUGUUCAAUCUCUCUCUUGAAGCUUCAAAGUGAAAGAGAUAAGAACAUAAACAGAUAAGCAUGGCUAGGCAGACCCCACUAAAAUUGCACAAUUUCUAAAAGGUCCCUGACCUUUCAAGUAUUUCAACUUUGGUUUCCACAACUUAAAUUUUAAGUUUUUGAGUUCGUUUUUGUGUCUAUUUCGCGCCAAAAUAUAUCCAAUUCUGUCAAACGCUGUAAAAUAAAUGCUGACUAAAAAUUUUAUGUUGCAACCUUAUCUAUUUGUUAAGAUCCAGUAUAUCACAAAUUGAUAAAACAAGUGGGCUAAUUAAUAUGAGGCGCAAGAAUUUAGGGUGUAAGCUUACACCCUAGUUAUAAGGUGUGUGGAUAGGACUGCUCAAAUAAUUUAUGCCUGUAAGUGUUUAUUAGUAUUAUGCUAAAAAUGGUAGUCAGAAUCAAAUUUAGUUUAUCAGAGUAGAAUACUUAAAUAAAAGAAAAGUUUACGAUUGCUUGAGAACAUUGUAAGCAUGCUAAUUAUCCGGUCACUUGUCCUGUUAUUCUCAAAUACAUUCUUUGUCUGAAUGACUGAUUAAGUUGUCUAGAGAUGUGAGUGUGACCCAGAUAUGAUUCCUCGUUUGAGUGGAUGUGUGCUUGUGUGUGACCUACAAGCAUAACAUGUCCGCAAAGAAAAAAAAAAAAAGAAAAAGAAAAAAAAGCCAGAUGUUGCUGUAGAGACAUAUCAAAACAAAUUUAAACAAAUUUUAGUCAAAAUUAAAUUAAAUUUAACCAAAAUUUAAAUAAAAAAAUUAGUUAAGUAUGUUUUAAUAAUUUCAAGAUAAAUUUAUAAAUUUUUGAAUAGUAGUAAGAAAAAAAAAAGUAAUUUUCUUAAAAAAAAAAAAAAAAAAAAAAAAAAAAACUUCGUAGGAUUCCCGCCUAGCUGGGAAUCUCCGCUGUGAAAAGAAUGGAGGGACUAUUUCUUAUUCCAUAUAAUUACGAAGAGACAUUUGAAUUAAUCAACCGUCCAAUAUUGUUUCAAGAUCCGUGUAUUACAUAUUGCGACCAAUUGAUUAGAUUGUUUCUACGUGAAAAUUUUUUUCUAUGUAAUAUGUUUAUCUAUCCUAACUAAAUUAUGAACUGAAUUAAUUAUCCAAAGGUACUAUUGUUAAAUAUAAAAUUAUAAAAAUAUCAUUCUCUAACAGUUUAAAUUUUUAGAGUAGCAUUAUUAAUUUUCUCCUAUUUAAUUCAAAUCUACGUGAAGAAUCGUACAAAAAGUCUCGAGUCCAAACGUAAAUAGGAGUGUUAAACAUAAAAAUAUAUAAAUAUCAAUCUCUAAUAGCUUAGGUUUUAUAGUACAACGGUUGUUUUACAUGGUAUUAGAAUAAGAGAUCCUGAGGUCUAGUCAUACUAGAUUCCUAAUAUAAUUAAUUUCUUUCUGCUUAAUUAAAGUCCACAUCACAGGUCUAUGAAAAGUUUAGAGUCCAGACGGAAAGCGAGUAUUAAAGUCGACUUAAAUUUUUAAAUUACAACGAUUAUUUCAUAAUUAUUUCAGAAAAAUAAAUUAUAUCAAAAAACGUGGAAUGCAACAUCACGAUUUUAAUUGUUAUUUUAAUAAAAUUAGAUGAGAGAGAAAAUGGACUUUCUCCAACUCGGAGAGCUUUAAAUUGACAUGGUAGCGCGCAUCAAUCAUUAACUUAAUUCUCUUUUUGAAUAUAUAUCCCUUUCACAGGUUGAUGGAUCGAAUUUCAGGCGGAUUUUUAAAAAUCUAAAACUCAAAUCCGAAUAUCCAAACUAAAAUCUGAAUCCCAACCAUGAAAUCAUCGGGUUUUGACAAAUCAUAACAAAAAUCCAACCUAACUAAAAAUCUAAAAUGCAAAAUCAAACCUAAAAAUCCGAAUUCGAAAACAAUCAUUUUGUUUUUACCAAUUUUUAAAAUAUAUUAUACUCAAAUUUAUAAUUUAAAAUUACAAUUUAAUAAUAUAAAAUUUAAAUUUUAUAUAUUAUAUAAUAUGAAAUUAGUUCUGAUUUGCUGCAGAUUUGGUUCAGAAUUGGAUCCAGGUCAAGUAUAGGUAAGAACCAUGUCCAAGCCUGACUGAACGGUGUCAAAGUCUUACUGAAUCCAUCAUAUUUUAUUUUUUUAUACUCAUAACGGAAAUGAUAUUAUUUAGUACUGGUUAAGCAUGAAUAUGAUGAAAUCCCGAAUAUACAUAUCCGUCGACAUCUCUAAUUCCUCUAUUCUCAUUUCAUACAAAUCCACUCACAAGCUUAUCUGCUAAAAUCAAACCUUCUUACUCUUACCUCGAAGUCUAGCAUUUCUGAUCACACUCAAUUGUCAUGUCAUGUCAUAUUUUCAUUACUUGCCCUUGAGAGCUCCUCUAAUGAAACUAAUAAUCAAUUAUUUCAAGUUUUUAUUUAUUAUGAAAAGACAUAUUAUUCUAUAUUACUUAGUUAUUGAAUAUGAAUGAAAAAAACGCUUCUUUUUAUAUCUGAAAUGAUACGUCCCUUCAUAUUCGAGGUUUCCUGAUAUACUAGUAUAAUUAUCCGUACGAUACGACAAGUAGCGACAAGUAGGUGUUAUCAAAUUAUUAGACUUUUAGUCCAAUCCAACUCGCCUUAAACAGAAAUUAUCAAAUAAUUUCAAAAAAUACUGUAAAAUAGAUUAAAAAAUAGAAAAUAGAAAAUAAAAAGAGAGAAAAAAAGAAGAACAAGAAAAGAUAGAGGAACUCUCACUUGAUAUUGGUUUCUAAAAAGGUGAGGCUUGCCAUUGCUUUCGAUGCUGCCUCAAUCCACCGUCGUUGCCCACGCUUUCUUCUGUCGUCGCCGCCUUGAUCUCCACUGCCAUCACACAUUCAUCGCCUCAGCCACCACUAUGAACUGAAGUAUCUUGUAUGGGUUCUAAAGAACUCUACACAGAAAGAGAGAAGAUAGGGCUGUGGGAGUUAGAAAAAACGGAUGGUAGAGAAGGAGAAAAGACGCGUGGGCUUAUGAGGGGGAAGAAAAAAAGGGGCUGGAAGGAGGUGAAGCGGUGAAUGUUGAGAAAAUGAGAAGACACCAAAAUUAGGAGUUGAAAAAAAAAAAAGAAAAAAAAACUAAAUCCCACGCCUCAUGCUAAAUAAGAAGAUGAGAAAACACUAAAAUUAGGAGUUAAAGAAAAAAAAAUGUAAAUAAAUCCCACACCUCUUGCCAAAUGAAAGAGGUCGUGCCACCUCAACCAUACGUAUUGGGGAUUAAUAUAUUUUUAUAGAUAUAUUUACAGAUCAUCCAGCAAAAACGGCCAUGGCUUUAUCUUAAAAAUAGCGAGUAGUAGGUAAAUAUGCACUAGUUGGUUGAAACUACAUACUCUUAGGAAAAUGUCUUAGGUGUGUCUCCAUAAACCUGAAUCCAUUAUAUAUCAAGCUGUCUGGAAAGUCAAUCUAUAUUUAUUAUUUUCACUUAGAUUAAUUAUACUAUUGUUAUUUACUAAUUAACUCAAUCUUACUCAUAACUAUAUUGUCAUUUAUUGACUUCCCUUAGCAGGAGUGCCAAAAGACUUAAUAGUUCAUAUUUUUAGCUAUAUAUAUUAAUUUUUUUAACAAAUAAACGAAGCAGAUAGGAUGUUUUUUUUUUUUCUGAAUGGAAAAGAAUAUUGUCAAUUUACUUCCAACGAACUCUCCAUAUUCUAAAGAGUUUACUUAAACGAUUGCACCAUACUACUUAGACGAGUAAUCCAACAUCAUUAAAUAGACCUGCUUGAAUUACUAGUCCAAAAUCAUCACUUAAUUAAUCUGAUUUUAGUAACAAUUGUUGUAACUCUAUUUGAACCCAUAUGGGUCUAUCACUGAAUGUUACCAAGAAAAAAAAGAAAGAAAAAAAAAAAACACAUGUAGAAAAAAAUGCGCUCGAUCGUAAAGGCGGUUGUUAUAACCGCCUCUACAAAAUAAUAUUUAUAAAGGUGAUUUAAACCAUCAUUAUAUUAUUACUAAAUAAAUAAAUAAAACAAAAUAAAUAAAUUUGUAGAGGUGGUCUAAGCAUCCCCGGCGGUCGAUCAAAUUGCCUCUAUAAUGUAGAGGAGGUGUUUACACUGGCGGUCUAGAUCGGUUAUAAUGUCGAUCGAGGAGGUGUCUACGUUGGCGGUCUAGAUUGGUUGUCACAACUGCCUCUACAAUUCGUAGAGGACAAUUAAAAAUUACCUUUACGACUGCCUUUUUUUAGUGUACAUCUUGUUAAAUUAUAUAAAAUAACUAUUUAUCACUACUAGCUUAAGCUUGUAGAGAAUUCGAACUCAAGACCUCUUAUUAUGAAACAAUUAAUCAUUUAUCACUAUGCACAAAGAUAUAUUCAAAGGUUGAGAUAAUUCGUUUGGAUUUUAGUUAAAAUAAAAAAGAAUUUGAUAAAUUAUGCAAGUGAGUAAAUAUAAACUGUAUGGAUAAGCUCAAUCUGUUCUACGAAGAUUUGUGUAAUAGGACAGGCGUACCUUGUAGAAUUUUCACUCCAAUCAAGUUCUAAUCCACGUCCAAUCUAAUGCCAAAUGUUGCGUUUCGUUUGGUUAAUUGGCUUUCCCGUCCCUUUUUGGAGACGCUUUCGUAAUGCGUUUGGCAUUGUUCACGUUUUUUCCAUUUUAGUUUUGUUUUAGUUUGCACAAUCAUUAUUCUUCUCAAGCAAAAAGUAGUUACUAGCAAGUUUUUUUUUUUUUUUUUUUUUUUUUUUUUUUUUUUUUUAGUCAAUCUAGAACAGGAGCAAAUAUAGCAAUAAAUAAUAUUCAGCGUAGUUACCACCUUUUCUACUAAAUAAAAAAACAAAUAAUAUAUGGCCAAUUUGCAUAAAAAAUCUAUCAGUUUUGAGUUUUUACAAAAAUAGACUGUCCUUUUAAAUUUUAUAGAUUUGUUCUGAAUUUUAAUAAACUGAUCAAAAUACUUUUAUUCCUCUUUCUCUUUCUAUUUUUUUCACAUUCUUUUUUUCUGUUCGGUACAUCUUCUACCUCCUCGCCUUUUCUGGAAUUUUCACGCUCGUCCUUUUUUAUUUUUUCCCUCGUCCCUCGUCAUCUCCUCUAUCGGCUCUGCGGUCCUCAACAACGUAAUGAGGACGGUGCCGACGGAGGAGAAGGAUGGAGUGAAUGGAAGCACUGAGGUCGUGGCCGAGGCUGUGCUCGCUAUUGCCCGUGAGGGUUAGGAUGAAGACACGUCCGUGCUUCUCCAAGGAGCGAAAAAAGAAUGCAGAGAAUAGGAAAAAAAAUAAUAAGAAUAAAAAGAAAAAAUAAAAAAAAAAUAUUUUUUCUUCUUGAAAGAUUAUUAUGUUUUAUCGCUGCUACAGAAAAGACCAAAAAACAGAGAAGAAAGAAGAAGAAAAUAAAAUUGUACUAUUAAGAUAGAGUUAUACUGUUUCUAAAAAAAUGCACUAUUUGAGCAAAUAAAUGUUGCACUCUUUGAGAAGAAAAUUAUACUCUUUGAGAUGAAAGCUGUACUUUUUGAACGAAAGUUGUACUUUUGAAUGAUAGUUAUACUUUUUGAAAGAAAGUUACACUCUUUGUUCUAAUAAUGCAAAUUAACAUAUAAUAAUGGUGUGGUAUUACCUAUGAUGUCUAAAUAGUAUUUGAAACCGUGGAAGUUUUCGAUGACAACAUUGAUGUCGACGACAAGGAAGACGUUGGCGGCUGCAAAAAGAAAUCCGACUCGCCGAAGAGAUCAACAAGGUUGCGGCGCCCAGAUGCACAUGUGCCGUGAACACCUGGAGAACGCCUCGCAGUGUCCAGACACAUGCACGCCGUUGAGCGCUCGGAGCAGCGCCUUUACCUUAGCCUUUCCCCUCGCACUCCUGCUGUCGCCGCCACCACCGCCCUCCACCAAACUCCCUUACAAAAGGAAGAAAAAAAAAUAAAAAGAAAAAAUAAAAAAAAUUUCUUCUUGUAAGAUCAUUAUGUAUCAUCGCUAUUAUAAAAAAGGCCAAGAAUCAGAGAAAAAAAAGGAAGAAGCAACACUGUUAAUAUUGCACUAUUUCAAAAAGAAAUUACAUUAUUUUAGAAUAACAUUGCACUCUUUGAGAUAAAAAUUACACUCUUUGAGGCGAAAGUUAUACGCUUUGGAUGAAAGUUACACUCUUUGUUCUAAUAAUGCAAAUUAACAUUUAACAAUGGUGUGCCCGCGCCCAAGGGACCCCCAUCUACUCAAUCAAGACAUGCUCAAGGCAGUAGCGACAGAAGUAGAGGGCGACAGUGGGAGCACGAGGGGGAAGACAAAAACCGAGGCGCUUCUCCUGGCAUUCGAUAGCGUGCGCUCGUCCAGGUGGCGGAUCAUCGAUCUCUUCGACGAGUCGAAUUUCUUUUCGUGGUCACCAAUGACUUUCUCGUCGAUGUCACAGUCAAAGGCUUCCAAGGCUUCAAAUAAUAUUUAGGCACCAUAGGUAAUACAACACCAUUAUUAAAUAUUAAUUUGCAUUAUCAGAAUAAAGAGUGCAACUUUCUUCAAAAGAGUGUAACUUUCACCCAAAAAGUGUAAUUUUUAUCUCAAAGAGUGCAAUUUUCGCCUCAAAAAGUACAACGUUCGUCUCAAAUAGUGUAAUUUUUUUUUUCCGAAAUUGUAAAUUUACCUUAACAAUAACACUUCAUCUUCUUCUUUCUUCUAUGUUUCUUGAUAUUCUGUGGUAGCGAUGAUACAUAUAUUUCAAAAAAAAAAAAUCUUUUUCAUUUUUUAUUUUUUAUUUCUUUUUCUAUCCUAUGGAUUUUUUUUGUUUCUUGGAUAAACGCGAGCGCGUCUUUGUCCUAAACCUCAUGCGCAAUAGCGAGCAUCGCCACGGCCAUGGCUUCAUUGCCUCCAUCCACUCCGUCCUCACCUGUGCCCGCCAGCUCCAAUUCCUCAACCUUUGGUAUAGGAUCUCCAUCACUCGCACCUGUGCCACCUAUUAAUCCACAGAUAAAAAAGUUUAAAUUUUUUUCUUUUACAUUUUGCAUUCCUAUCAAUUAUUAGCGUUUCAAUUAAUAUAAUAUAUUUUCAUUUUUUACUUUCAGUUUGUAGAUUAUAGUAGUGCAAAUGAUCCUUUUCCUAACAUCAGGUCAUCAUUUUCAAGUCAUGAGCCUUCAAAUGCUGAUCUUCGUGGCCGAACUAUUUGAGAGCAAUCAUUGGAGACAUGAGUUAUAUUUUGAUAUGCUUAAGAACUCAUGAAUUUCCUUCUAAUCAUUUGAUUUUUGAAGUUUAGACUUAUAUUUUCUAUUUUGGUGUAUUAAAAGUGAUACUCUACUAUAUUAAGUCUGUUUUGGUGUAUUAGAAGUGAUACUCUACUAUGUGAGGGUUGGCCUGUUAUUGAAAUUUGACACUUGAUGCUAUGUUAAACUUUUUACAAUAUAUUUAUUGCAUUUCACCUUAGUUUAUUUUCAAUUUUGUAUUCUUUUGCUAAUCUGGUAUCAGUAAGUUUGACUUAAAAAAAUGUAGCAAUUGUAUGUUACAAAUUUAUAAUUAAAUAAUCACUGAAAUUUUGGAAAUUAUGUAGCGGCGGUUUAAAACGCCUCAAUAGGAAACAAUUAACAUUCUAUUUUUAUAUGUAUAGGCGGUUAAAACUGCCGCUAGUAACAAAACUAUAAAAAAAAUAUUUACUUAGUGGCAGUUUACACCGCCGCUACAUAUUCUAUGAAAAAGUUUUGGGUGAGAGAAAAAGCGUUUAAAACCGCCGCUAUCGACCACCGCUACGUAUUCUGACCUACCCGGCGGUAUAUAGCGGCGGUUUAAAUCGCCGCUACAUAUUCUAUGAAAAAGUUUCGGGUGAGAAAAGAAGCGUUUAAAACCGCCGCUACCGACCGCCGCAAACUAUUUGACCUACCCUGGCGGUCGUGGAAACCGCCGCUACAAUGUAGGGACAGUGGUAUUCACGGCGUUCUACCGGCGGUUAGUAAACCGCCGCUAAGUUUUGUAGGGGCGGUUUAAACCGCCGGGAAAGGUCAAGAAAACCGCCGCCAAAAGUCUCUUUUCCUGUAGCGGGUGUACUUCCGAAAAGCAUUAUGUACAUCACCGCUAUUUUACAGCAAAUUCGAAAAAGAAAAGUGUAAAGAGAGAGAACAAUUAAUUUUCAGAAUGGAAACAACACUCAAAUCCCAUUCUACCUCCAAUUUUGUUGUUGUGUCAUUGAAAUAGAUUUCACUUGAAGAAGGCAUGUCCGCAACAUGAACUUCCUAUAAAUCAAUAAGAAAAAGGGGAAGCAUUUAGAAUAAGUUUGCUAUCAAGUCGUUUUCAAUGUUGUCUUCCAAAUCGACAACGACUCCAUUAAAUUUGAUUUAGAAAUUUAAAGUACUUAAAAAUAAAUUUUGUGAUAUUUUAUAUCAUUUAUUUAGUAAUCGAAAAUGUUCAAAAUUGAUGGUUGAAUAUAAAAAUCUCAUAAAAAGUGAUGACAUGACACUAAAAUUUUAGAUCAAAUAUAUUGAUCUUGUUUUAUAUAAUAUAAAAAAAAAUUAUCAAAAUUUUAUGUGAUUUGAAUUUUUUUUUAUAUCGUUAAACUUGCAAAUGGGUCAAAACGGCCAUUAAAAUUAUUAAUUUUAGGCCCCUUCAAUCACUAGAUAAAUGACAUCGAAAAAUAGCAAAAUUUAGUUUCUAACUAAUUCAGAUAAUCUAAAUCAAGUCUAAUUGAGCCAAUCAUUGAUUUUGAAGUCUCAUCAUCAAAAACUAUUUGAUAGCAUGGAGGCAACAAUGCUUCUGGAAGCACACAAACCGGAAUAUAUCUAUACUAUAUAUAAAAGUGGAGUUCGGCUAGGAUACUAUUGAUAGCACCAAGCGUUUGGUGCUAUUGAGUUUUCUGCCGUUAGAUUUAACCCUUUGACUAUUUUUAUCCGUUAGAUUAGACUAUUAAACCAAUAACUCACUCAAUCCUAGGGGGCCCACACAUCCUAACCGUACAUUUUUUCAUUCAAGGGCCGAAACCUAAUAGCACCAAUAGCUUUGUGCUAUUGAUAGUAUUCCAGUCUAGUUCUAUAAAAGUGUAUAAAAAAUCUUAUAAUGACAAAUAGAAUAAAAAAAUAAAAGAAUAUUUCCUUGGUAUUUAAUCUUCUACUUGUACUUGCGCUGAUAUAAGAUGUUGAGAAUCCACAACCUGCUUUGAUAUCAUCUACUGUAAAUUUGUCUCGAGUCACUUAGUGAGUAAGGCGCAUAAGUGGAGCGGUAAUUUUCGAGAACUCCUCCACAAACAGCCAGUUGUACCCUACAAGCCCGAUAAAGUUUCAGAAUUUAGUGACAUUAGUAGGCCGCGAUCAAUCCUUGAUUGCUUCCACCCUUAUAGGGUACGUCCACUGAGAUCCCAAUUUCAAAAAUUACAUACCCCAAAAAUGCAACUUUUUGGAGCUAAAAUUUAUAUUUUUUUUUUCAAUUUGGCAAAUAACUUUCACUCCUAAAGAACUUGCAAAACUUCUCUAAGAUGCUCCUCAUAUUUCUCGUCACUUCAGAAGUAGAUCAAUAUGUCAUCAAUAGAGCCCACGACAAACCUAUUCAGGAAUUUAGUGACAUUAGUAGGCCAUGAUCAAUCGUUGAUUGCUUCCACCCUUAUAGGGUACGUCCACUGAGAUCCCAAUUUCGAAAAUUACAUACCCCAAAAAUGCAACUUUUGGGAGCUAAAAUUUAUAUUUUUUUCAAUUUGGCGAAUAACUUUUACUCCUAAAGAACUUGCAAAACUUCUCUAAGAUGCUCCUCAUAUUUCUCGUCACUUCAGAAGUAGAUCAAUUUGUCAUCAAUAGAGCCCACGACAAACCUAUUCAGGAAAGGCUUAAGACACAAUUCAUAAGAUCCAGAUAGGCUGCUGGGGCAUUGGAGAGCACAAACGACAUUAUGAUAAAUUCAUAAUGACCGUAUCAUGCCCUAAUGGCCGUUUUAUGUACAUCCUCUAGCUUAAUCUUUAGUUUAUAGUAUUCCAACUAAAAAUCAAUUUUAAAAUACAUUCGAGACCCCUAUAACUGAUCAAACAUAUCACCAAUGUACGAUAGUGGAUACUUGUUCUUUAUUGUGAUUUGAUUGAGCUCCUUAUAAUUCACACACAACCGUAAAGACUCAUUCUUUUUCUUUAUAAAUAGCACCAGAGCUCCCUAUAAGAAUACACUAUGUUUGAUGAAGCUUUUCUCUUGUAGAUCUUGUAAUUUACCAUUAAGCUCCCUUAACUCUUCUGGCCAUUGGGUAGGGUGCCUUUGAUAUCGCAGUCUCGAAAACCAUGUCAAUUACAAACUCCCGAUCUGGCAAUAUUCCAGGUAGCUCCUUUAGGAAACAUCUAGAAACUCUCAAGCUAUGGGGAUGACCUCGAGCACUGGAGAUUCAGCUUGAUCCUCCACCACUGUGGCCAAAUAGACACAAUGAUUUAUUAUAUCAUUUGCCUACAUGAUUGUCCUAAUCUUUUCUUAUCAGUAACCAACCAUUUGGUUUGAUUUCGCUUCUUGCUAAAUAUCUCAUGGAGAGCCGAAAGCAAUUGGCAUUCCUCCAAUCAGUAGGCACUUAGAAUUGCAGAAAAUCGACAUCCCUAUGUAUGAUAGAGGGAGUCGAGGGUAAUCAACAUCUCCUGAUAUGGAUAGGGAGUUGAGAGAAAUCGACAUCUUCUGAUAUGGGAUAGGGAGUCGAGGGGAAUUGGCAUCUCCCAAGUGACACUUCCGAAAGGUCGCAACUUGUAUUUUAAUUAUACCCUAAAUUUUCACAACUUUUAGGAUUGAUUACGAUGUUCAUUUACACACAUUCUCUUGUUCUCUAACUCAAGUUUUGCUUGGAGUUGAAAUGUCACUGUCUCACACCCUACAUUCUAUCAUAGGUUCAAUGUCACUAUUAUUUCCCCUAUAUUCCAAGGUACACAUGAUAUUCAACUUGAAUAUAAUAUAUACUUUUCUUUUAGCAUAGGAAAGGGAUAGAAUCCUUAUUUUCCAUUGAUCAAAUGCUCCUUAGCACAAUGAUCUCUUAGAUCUCAUAACGUACAACUAAAUAUGUUUUAAUUGGAUAACAAAUGCAAAGGAACAAAGAAAACUUUAGACAAAAGGGAGACUAAAUCCAUUUUGGCGAUAUUCCCCACCUCUACUAAGAUCUUCUUAGGAGAUGCUUUUUGAUCUUAAUAGAACAUCAAGAACAGUUCUAACUAAGUUAGAACCCUAAAAUCUCUUAUUCAGGAAACCCCCACAAAACAAACCUAAAUAAAUAAAUAAAUAAAUAAAUAAAUAAAUAUAUAUAUAUAUAUAUAUAUAUAUAUAUAUAUAUAUAUAUAUAUAUAUAUAUAUAUAUAUAUAUAUAUAUUAUCUCACUUCUUCUCCUCCUAACAAGAGAAAGGUAAGUUGAGAUGGUUGCCUUCUCCCUCCUAGAGCUUCUCCUAAGAGCUUUUGAUCUCCUUCAAGUCCCCAAAAAGAUGGAUAUCCAAGAUCUAUCAAAGGGAAAAAAAAAGUUAAGAUUUUCUCCCUUUUAGAGAGAGAGAUAAGAGAAAGAGUAUAAGAGAGAGAAAUGAGAAAGAAGAAGAGUUGUGGCUAUGAUGGGGGUAUUUAUAAAAGUGUUACAGUUGCACUUAAACCUCCCAACAUUUUCUAUUUGCAAGUAAAUAUAAUAUAGCCUCUGCACCAAGUUUCGAGCACCUCUCUAAACUUUCGAGCACCCAAAAGCUACAUAACAACGUCCAAUCAGUGACCCGAGUGGCCGUCCAGUCCGCCCGAUNCUUAAACCUCCCAACAUUUUCUAUUUGCAAGUAAAUAUAAUAUAGCCUCUGCACCAAGUUUCGAGCACCUCUCUAAACUUUCGAGCACCCAAAAGCUACAUAACAACGUCCAAUCAGUGACCCGAGUGGCCGUCCAGUCCGCCCGAUUCCUCAUUUUAGGCAUUCGCAGAGAAGACCGGACAUCCGAUUAUUUAAUGAGUUAUGCAACCACCCCUCUCGGGUUGAGUGUCCGGAAGGUAUUUGGACGCCUGUGGAAGCCAUCCAAUUGUAUUUUGGGUGCUUGCAGAAACAUUCGAUCACCUUAAUAUUUAAUUCUUUCUGCAUUUAAGCUCUCGGGUAGUGCAUUUAAGCUCUCGGGUAAAGCAUCUCGAAGGGGUUCGGACUCCCGCUGGGACUAUUCGAAAGGCAUUUCAGAUGCUCGCAGAAACAUUCGAAUGCUCAAAUAUUUAAUCCUUCGCGAAUCUAAGCUCUUAGGUAGAACGCCUCCUCAUUCUGGGCACUCCACCGAGCUGUUCAAAAUAUUUCGGUCACCUGAACCCUAUUCUGGUUGUCCAAAAAGUCUGGAAUUCAAAUUUCAACUUCCCUCGAAACUUUAUUUAGAUCCGAAUUGAUUUUAAUUUGAUCCAAACUCAGCCUAAACAUUUCCAAAUCCAUUUUAAUCAUGCCUAAUAUGAUUGUAAUCCACACUUUGGCAAAUUUUGCUAAAAUUCAGUGCAUUAUAGCAUGAAUAUACUAAGGUGGUAGUUCCUUGAACAUAUGAACCUAGUUGACAUAUUGAGCACACUUCAUAUAGGAGAAAACUAUAGUGAGAAUAUAGUAACAUUGAGUGAAUCAUAAGAACUUGCAUGUAGGUAAAUAUGAGGAUAAAUGAGUAAACCAUUGAGGUAACCAUACUGUUGGCUGAAAUCGGUGGACGUGAGUUGUGACUUUAGCUUACAAGACCACUAUGAGCUAUUGUGUUGCUUGUGAAAAUCAUAAUAUACCGAAUCCCCGCGCAACGCUAACUUUGAUCGAAUUGAUCAAAGUGAGGCAUGAGUGUGAUAAGUGACGUCCCUGAGUUGCCUUGGAGGCGCGUGGAUGGUUAGAAGUGAGUUUCGGUUGAAUUUUAAGUGUUUUCGGCGCAAACCGGACGCGAAAACGGACCCUAGAACAUUGCUGCUGUGAGACUGCAGCUUUGGCAUUGAGUACUGGUACCAAGCCAAUGCGGUACCGAUACCCAAUAGAAGAAAAAAAUGGGCAGCUCUCAGGUUGGUGAUGCCGAACUGCGUACCGGUACCUAAGGUUGGGUACCGGAACCUCGCGAGCAAACCGGAAGGACCAUCUCUCGGGUUUGGGAGGCUGUUUGAGUGUGUACCGGUACCGCGUAGCCAGUACUGGUGCUAGACUGGUUGUGUACCGGCACUGGAAUCGUGUACCAAUACUCCAAGAUGGACCAAAGCCUGCGUAGCUCUUAGGUUGAGUGGCUGGUACCGGUACUGUGUACCUGGUACUACUACUGGGAGCCCGCGUACCGGUACUCCAACUCGAGUACCGGUUGUCAUGCCCCGAAUUACUCGUUUCCUCGAACACGCUAACAUACCCGCAGUAUACAUAGAAAUUUCUCCUGUAUAUGAAGCGAAGCUGUACCUGUACCUGUAAUCAUACAACACUACAACCAGUAGUAUAGAGCUGCUAAAAAGAAAACAUAUAUAAUAACAAAGGUUCACUAUACAUACAUAAUAUCCUGGUAUACAAAAAUCACUCGCUCCAGUGAGAUACAAACAUCAGUAUGUAUAAUAACCUAAAAACUACAACUACCUGUAGCUGGUACUCCUCUAACUCUGUGACUCGUCAGGAAGGACUCUAACUCGCAACACCCUUUCCACGAUCAGUAUCAGCAGUAGCAGCAGCCGCAACCGAAGGCUCUGCAAAAGAUCCACAACUGGGCGUGAGAACUACUGCAAAAAGAAGUAGUCCUUAGUGGGUACCGCUACCGACUUCAACGGCUCACCCACUAAAUCUACAGAUGAUAUGCUCAAUGAUAGUAAAGAACUGGAAAUAAUUUACAGUUAUAUGCCACUAUACUAUCAUAAUCCAACACUAGUAGAAUAAGGCAAGCUCUGACCCAAUCUUACUAGGGACUAUGAAAACACUCGUCCCGCCUGUCGAGACUACACAGCUACCUCCACGCUAGGCCGUCAGUGGAGAGCAAGUCCAACCAGGACAAACCGACAUCAACGCAAAAACACUAAGCUCGACUCCGGAGUGGCACUCGUGGGCGCUAUCCAACCGAGUAUGCAAGCGUAUCUCUGCCGAGCUCAAUCAGGCUCUCACAGGCUAUAGUCAAAGUAAAUAGAGUCUAACAACCAAACUCACGUGCCCUCGGCACAAUCUGAUGCAAAAACAGUAAUCUGGGUCUACCGUAAACCUCAACUGCACCCGUUAGUCCGGAACAGCCUAAACACUGCUGUAAAAAUAAGCUCGGCAUCUAAGCACGAGCGUAAAUACAUUCUACACUAAUCAGGGUAUCCACUGCCUAUAAACUAUAGCAAUACAAACUAACUACGGCUCCUAGAGCUAAAUAUGGUAGUUUUAAUAUAUGACGGUGUAGAAACGCAAGUUUUCUGCUAAGUCAAUUCCAAGUCCAACAUAUAUAUUUAACUAACAUUUUAAGCUCCAAACUCAGAUUUCAUAAGCAUGCAAAUCACUAGUUUGAGCUAAAAACAUGAUAUACAAAUGACUAAACAUACAUGCUGUCAACUACGAAGCUUAGGAGGAGAUUCGAAAAUUCCGGUAGCUUAAACAUCAACCCACCUCUAGCGCUAAUCCACGAUAGCGAUGGGGCGCCGGAAUACCCUGCCACGACCAGCAGCAAUCCAGCAACAAGCUCUCUAAGGGUCUACACACAAAAAUCACCAAAACUCCAUCAAUAACCCAAAAUUCAGCACUUAAAAUGUCAACUUCACCUUCUAAUCUUCAAAUCAGGUGAGAGAAGGUUCCAAAUCCAGAGAACUAUGAUGAAGUAUCACCCUCUGGUUCAAAAUCUAACUUCCUCCAAAGAUUGCAUCAAGAAAAACCAACAAAACUCAGAUUCAAGUCCAAAACACCAACAUCUCAGAAAAACACGAAAUUGGCUAUACAAACCUUAAUCAAUUUCUGUCAAGUUUGCUCCACGAAUUCUCCAAGAAGUCAGCUAACCACAAAUCAAGUUUCACAGCAAUUCGAUCCUCCUACGUCGCACACGAGCCAAAACACCGAAGGUCGCUGCUGUAAUUCUACUGAUACUGCAGUCCUCAAGCUUCAAUUUGUGGAAUUUGGAAUAAUUUGGAGAAUUUAGAGGGGUUGGAAUGCAAAUUAUGGGUUCUCUGUGGAGGAGGGGUGAAAAGGCUUCAAUGUUGUCGAACACAAGCUAUUUAUAGGGAGGUGGAAGGGUGAAAUAAGCCUCAAGAACAAAAGCUGCUAACCUGCUGUCCCUGCAGAAGUGGUAACUUUCAGACGCGCUAAACCAAAAACUGGGCAUCCGAAAUCUCCUGGCUAUACAAAAGCUCCACAUCGGUUCCUCCGCCCGCGGUAUGCUGCGCCCGAAACUUGGUCCGGCGGAUCUCACCAACCACCAGACACGUGUUAGCGCGUUCGAUACUCCCAAAGCAAAACUUUCAGACCCACUUCUGGGCGCCCGGAAUAUAGGAUCCAAAUUGGCUUCCAAUUUCAGUUAAAUUCAGUACAAUUCGACACUCAAGUUCUGGGCGACCCAAACCAUGUUCUAGGUGCCCGAAACUGGCAAAACUUUAGUUUUGCUUAUUUGAGUGCGCCGAGUCUCUUUUUGCAUCCAUUUCGUGCAAACACGACUCCGACUCAGUCCGACACUCUCCAGAUGUGUCGACCAGUCAUUAAUACUGUAGCCAAUCUGAUCCAAACCUCCAGAACACACCGGUACUCAACCUAAAAAGGGUUGAAUUAUAAUGAUGUAAAAUGGGAAAUGUGAGGGGUCUAAAUGCAAUUGUUGGGGUCUGUAUAAAACCCCAACCCUUACACCUGUUGUUUGCAUGUAAAGAAACACUUUGUUUCUUCCUCCUCCUCAUCUCCUUCUCUCUCUAGACUUGUUCCCUCAAGGUGGAUUGGGAGAGAAAUUGAAGCUAGAACUUGGUGAAUUUCGUGGAGAAGAGGCUCAAGAACUAGGAGGGUCUUGUGGAGCAAGAAGCUAAAGUAGGUUUCUUGCAAUUUCAUGUUAGGGUUUGAUUUAAAUACCCUAAUUGGUUUAGUUUUGUGAUUCUUGGAUUUCUAGAGCUUUGUUUAUGCUACGAAAUUCAAGAAAAUUACACUAUGAGAAGUACGUGUGAACCCAAGGGGUAGAAAUAGGGUUUUGUAGGAAUGGGGAUCUAACAUGGGUUUCAUCUCUUGUAUUCCUAUUUGAAGGUUAAACCGACGAGUUGGGAGGCUCGGAUCGAAGUUUCGACGAGUCUACAACAAGUUAUUGAGAAAAAUCCUCAUUUGACUUUCGUUUGUCGUGGGUCGAGAGAAGUAGACGUCUAAAAAUCGCGAGGCUUGGUUUCUCACACUCCGGCGUCCUUACGAGGUGGGUGGUGCUAUCCGAAGUCUUCGAAUGACCUAUUAUAUCUUUGUCAUCUUGUUGAGCAUAUAUGUAUAUGUAUAGUAUGGCAUUCAUGCAUUGUAGGAUUAUUAUGUGGCUAAGAUGUGGGCAAUCUUGCAUGCUUUCAACGUAGAAAACAUGUGAAAUGAAGGACCAUGACAUAGAAACCCUAUGAAUGUAUGAACAAAGUAUUGAACUAUGACAAUAGUAAACAAGGUGAUAUUGUAACUAGACGGAAUGAAUAGCACCAAGAAUUAUGAAUGAUAGACAAAGAGAAACUAUGUGAACUUUGUGGCAAUAGUGACAUGGUAUCCUCCAAGUGAGGAUUGGAUUGUACUCACAGGUAGUCUGAUUGUUUGAGGGUGGUCGCUCCACUUCCAGCAGUGAGCUCCGGAGUUGGCAUCAACUAGGCGGUAGCGGAAUUCUCCCCAGCAGACGGUCCCGUUGGGUUGUAGUGGUAUUCUCCCCAACAAAAGGGAUUUGGUUUAGUGAGUUGGGUUUAACCAAAUGAUUAACCAAGCGGAUUGGGUAAAGGUAAAGGUAAAAGUGAAAUGCAUGCAUCAUGAGCAUAUUACCUCUCGUUCAGUUCUUAUACAGGCAUUGUAGUAGCAUUAGUUGGUUACCUAUUUGUUCUUUCUUUCUACAUAUGCCUGAGUAGACCUAGUGGGUGAGUCGGCGAGGUCGGCGGCCGAACCCACUGGGACCUUUCAUUAGUUCUCACACCACUAACCUUGCAGAUCCUAGCGCGAGCGGGCGGUCGAGGAUCGCAGCAAGGGCAUCGUGCCCUAGGUACUGGGCCUCCUUCGAGUUUAGUUUACACGCUUUUUUGUUUCAUCUUUUCUACUUGAUGAAAUAGAUAUGUAAAAGAGAUGAUGUUAUGUACUUGAAGGAUGUAAUAUGUACUUGGCAAAUGAAUGUAAUAGAAUAUGACACUUUGUAUUUUGUUUAAAGUAUUCAAGAUACAAUGAAUGUAUAGCUAGUUCGUACUUUCACUUGCUUUUGAAGUUGCUUGCCCUCGUGCAAGCUAUAUAUAUUGAAAUUAAUCCUGGGCAAAUUCUCCAUACAUGCUUUGUGGUCGUGGAGCCUAGAGCGGACAGGGGAGGUUCUGUCCGUUCGGCCAUUACAACAAAUUCAUGAUUUAGCGGCAUUUACUCCGCAUCAUUUAUUUAAAUAACGCUAAUUAAUAUAUUUAACAACAUUACUUGAUAAGUGUCUCUAGAUUUAAUAAUUUAGCAAUAAUUUACUAUUAAUGUUGCAAAAUAGAAUAAAUUAGCAGCAUAAAUUAAUGAAUGCCGCUGAAGUUUCCAGCAUUUUAUAAAAAAUGACACUAAAUGUAAUAAAGUAGCAGCACUUAUUGCUAAAUGCCGCAAUAUUUGCUCCGCAAUAUUUAUUUAAAUCAUGCUAAUUAAUAUAUUUAGCAGCAUUACCUGAUAAUUGCCGCUAGAUUUAAUUAUUUAGCGGCAAUUUACUAUUAAUAUUGCAAAAUAGGAUAAAUUAGCAGCAUAAAUUAGUGAAUGCCGCUAAAUAUAAUAAACUAGCAGCACUUGUUGCUAAAUAUCGUUACUAAUUAAUAUAUAAUUAUUAAUAUAUCUCUUUUUAUUUAGAAUUAAAACAUAUAAUUUUAAAAAUUAAAAUUAAAAUUUAAAAUUUAAAAUUUAAAAUUUAAAACUAUAAAUUUUUAAACUUAAAAUUUGAUGUCUAAAAAUUAAAAAUUUAAAUUUAGUAUCUAAAUUUAAAAUUUUAAAAUUUAAAAUUUUAAAGUUUUAAAAUAGAAGGCUUAAAAUUUAAAAAAUUAAAAUAUACAUAACUAAUAGCCGCUCGCGCAAAUGGCAAAGGGCUUGGUGGUUGGUACUCGAGGUCUCAAGUUCGAAUCCUAGUUGAUUCACAUUUUCAGCAAAGUUUAUUUCUAAAAGAAACAAACGAAGCGGGUAGCAUCUCAAAAAAUUAAAAUUAAAAUUAAAAAUUAAAUUUAAAAUAAAAUUAAAAAUUAAAAAUUUUAGUUUCUAAAAUCAUAUAUUUGUAUUAGCUGUAUUAUAUUUAUGUGCCACUAAUAAAUAAUUUAAAAUUAGCAUUUAAUCCCUUUUAGUGGCAUGUUCCUAAUGACACUAAUUAAUUUAUAUUGGCGGCAUUUAUAAUAAAUACUGCUAAUACUUUUAGCAACAUUGGCAUAGACAGCAUUGGUGUCAUAUGCUGCUAAAAUUAGGACCAUAGGACACGAGUAACGUGGAAUUGAAAUAUAAUGAAAGCUUAAUGGAUUGGGUUAGUUGGUAGUAUGUCUCUAAUGGUAAUUAGGGACUAAUCCAAGUUGUUAUUUAUUCUCAACUUAGGAGAUUAUGUUGGCGGCCGACAACAUAAUGCCGAAAGAUGAGGACAAAUACACUUGAUUGCUUUCAUCUGAUUUGGUUUUGUUUGGAUAUGUUGUUGUGACACGUAGAUGACGUGAGUCGAGUACUAACUUCGGUGCUACGUUUCAGGAGACAAUGACACCAAUUUGACGUCCAACGAUGAGAUCUACUCCGGCACCGCAUUCUGAGAUGCCCGAGCAGUCUGGAUCUGAUGAAGUUCGGGAGCUCUAUGCUCAGGUGGCUGCAUUAGUUGGAGCGAUGCAGCGUUAGGAGGAGUAGAUCGGGAGGCUCCAGGAGUUGGUGUCUCGGCAGGUGGCAGCAGCUGCACCUGUGAAUCAGGAUCCGCCCGCCCCUACGCUACCAGUUCCUACCGUAGUUGUGGCACCAGCGACGACGCCUCACAUUCCGGCGACUACUCCGAUGGUUUCUGGCUUUUCCAUUCUUGAUCUAGUCGCACUAGAGGCCGAGCAGAAGCGGUCAUUGGCGGUGUUGACGGCUUUCAAGCGGUUGCACCGUCCUAUUUUCGACGGGGAGAUGGCAGACCCUUGGGUGAUGGAGGCAUGGCUUACCUCCAUGGAAGCAUUGUUUGAGGACAUCUAUAGUUUGGAGAGAGACAAGGUUCACUUGGCCACGCAUUGCUUCGAAAAGUCGGCUCAAGUUUGGUGGAGGCGAGUUAAGAAGAACCAGUCUUCGUAUCUUCCUCCAAUGACUUGGGAGGGGUUGUUAAUCAUGGAGUACUUCCCCGACAGUGAUAAAAGGAAAAUGAAAGAGGAGUUUCGCAAGUUGAGGCAAGGAAGUCGCUCCGUGCGGGAGUACGAGUGGGAGUCCUCGCAUUUCGUGAAUUGUGUGCCGGGAUUGAUUAAUAGUGAUCGAGACCGGACGGAGUGCUGUGAGCGAGGAUUGCGGCCCGAAAUAUUCAAUGAUUCAUGCCCUCAAGUUGAAGACUUUUGAGGAGGUGUUAGAUCGUGCUCUUUGGGUGGAGUGAGGUAAUGUGAUUGCGUUGGAGGAGUGCGAAUCAUUUGAGAAGGAAAGGGACAAAGGCAAGAAAUGGGUGACAAGUGGGUCCGGGGGUCAGUCGAGUUCUAAGCGGCCCCCUCGGCAUCCACGAUCACAGUCGAGAAGUAGGGGAUCUUUUCGGUGGGUCAUUUGUGGCGGAGACCAUUGACCGACGAGUUGUUCACAGCGUGAGGGGAGGUGUUAUAGGUGUGGCCAGGCUGGACACCUGAGUCGGGAGUGCCCGAGUGGAGCAUCGCCUACCCUGCGUCAGUCCAGUCGACUCCGAGACAGCUUGCGGGACUGCCACCCGCUAUGUCAGCUGGACGCCCAUCCUUGCCGUGUCAGCCUGAGGGAACCCGAUCGGCGCCUAGUGGUCAUGUCUUUGCUGCUCAGGUGGAGGAGCCUGCUGCGGUCGACAAUGUCGUGGUAGGUAUUGUUUUAAUUAAUGAAACCAGAACUAGAGCAUUGUUCGACACAGGCGUAUCAAACUCAUUUAUUAGUAUGUCAUUUGCUAAGACUCAUGGUAUUGAGAUUUCGGAGAGUGCAGAUGCUUGGUGGGUUUAUGCUUCUGAGCACACCUUUAGUGUCAAGGAGGAAUGUGCGGCUUGUCUAGUGUAAGUUGGCGAUUUAUGCCGGCAGAUUUGUUAGUGUUGAGCCGUAUGAAAGGUUUCGACUUGAUCCUUGGAAUGGAUUGGCUCUCGAAAUACUAUGCUACCAUUGAUUGCGGAAGCAAGAUAAUUACUUUUCGUGAGCCCGGUCAAGAAGAGGUGGUUUAUCGUGCGUGUAAAAGCUCGCUCUUUGCUAUGACGGUGUCGACGUCGAGAGCGAGGAAGUUGAUUAAUACUGGAUGUGUAGCCUACUUGGCGAUGGUAGUGGAGACUCAAAAGGAGCUUCCGGUACUUGGAGAUAUUCCGAUAGUUCGUGAGUUUCCGGAUGUGUUCCUCAUGGAGUUGUCGGGAUUGCCACCGGACCGGGAGAUCGAGUUUGUCAUUGACAUGGUUCCCGAGACGGCACCAAUUUCGAAGGCACCGUAUAGAAUGGCACCGCCGGAGUUAAAGGAGUUAAGAGCUCAGUUGCAAGAUCUCCUUGAUAAGGGCUUUGUGAAGCCUAGUGUAUCGCCUUGGGGAGCUCCGGUGCUAUUUGUAAAGAAGAAAGACGGAACACUACAGCUUUGAAUGGAUUACCGCGAGCUGAACAAGGUUACAAUCAAGAAUAAGUACCCGUUGCCUCGGAUUGAUGAUUUGUUCGACCAAUCGCAAAGGUCUUGGGUAUAUUCAAAGAUUAAUCUCCAGUCGGGAUAUCACCAAUUGAAGAUCAAGUCGGAGGAUGUGCACAAAACGGCGUUUCAAACCCGUUACGGUCACUAUGAGUUCACGGUGAUGUCGUUUGGGCUUACUAAUGCCCCUGCAGUAUUUAUGGACCUAAUGAAUCGGGUCUUCAAGCCGUUAUUGGAUCAAUGUGUCGUGGUGUUCAUUGAUGACAUAUUGAUCUAUUCUCGGAGCGACGAGAAGCACGAGAAGCAUUUGAGAACCGUGAUGCAAAUUCUCAGAGAAAAGAAGCUCUAUGCCAAGCUAAAGAAAUGCAACUUUUGGCUUCGUGAGGUCACCUUCCUAGGCCAUCUGAUUUCCGAGAGUGGUGGAUCUGUUGACCCUAGAAAAGUUGAGGCGAUUAAAGAUUGGCCCCACCCGACAAGUGUUGCGGAGAUCCGCAGUUUUCUUGGACUUGCGGGUUAUUAUUGGCGGUUCGUGGAGGGGUUUGCUAAAAUUGCUACUCCACUAACACGCCUCAUGCACAAGGGAGCUAAGUAUGUGUGGAGCGACGAUUGCGAUCAAAGCUUCCGGAAGCUAAAGGAAAUAUUGACUUUGACUCCUAUACUCGCCUUACCAAUUGCAAGGGAGAGUUUUGUAGUGUAUAGUGAUGCCUCUUAUAAUAGUUUUUGGUGUGUUCUAUUGCAGUGUCGGAAGGUUAUUGCCUAUACUUCCCGCCAGUUGAAAAGCUAUAAGAAGAACUAUCCUAUUCAUGACCUUGAGCUAGCCACGAUGAUUUUUGCAUUGAAGCUGUGGAGGCACUAUCUUUAUAGUGAGCGCUGUGACGUAUAUACAGAUUAUAAAAGCCUCAAAUACUUGUUCACCCAAAAGGAGUUGAAUAUGCGGCAACGUCGGUGGUUGGAAUUAUUGAAGGACUAUGAUGUCACUAUUCUUUACCACUCGGGGAAGGCCAAUGUGGUGGCGGAUGCGCUUAGUAGGAAGUCGGUAGAAACCCUCGCCAUGGCAAUUACACAUCAACCGUUAUUGUGGAAGAAAAUGUGGCGGUUUGAUCUUGAGGUUGUAGCUCCAGAGGUUCCGGCUAUUCUUGCUGCUCUAGUUGUGCAACUAACCUUAUUGGAGAAAAUUAAAGAUCGACAGUCUUUGGAUCCAUAUCUCCAAAAGGUGCAGUGAGAUAUUGAGAACGGGCGCGCCGAUGAUUUCGGUGUGGAACCCGAUGGCGCACUUCGGUUUCGGAACGGUUGGUGCGUGCCCAAGGACGAGGAGGUUCAAAAGGCUAUAUUGCAAAGCUCAUCAAUCUGCUUAUAGUGUGCAUCCGGGCGGGACUAAAAUGUACAAAGAUCUUAAAGUGCAUUAUUGGUGGCUGGGGAUGAAGAGAGACAUUGGGGAGUUUGUCGCGCAAUGUUUGACAUGCCAACAGGUUAAGGCAGAGUGCCGAUUUGCAGCGAGAAAGCUUCAAAGCUUACCUAUUCUCGUUUGGAAGUGGGAGGAUAUAGCGAUAGACUUCGUGGUCGGUUUACCCCGAUCGCAAUCCGGACGCGAUGCUAUAUGGGUAGUGGUGGAUCGUUUGACAAAAUCGGCACAUUUCUUGCCGAUUCACACCACUUGGUCUGGGGACAAGUUAGCACAAGUCUAUCUUGAUGAGGUUGUGAGAUUGCAUGGGAUUCCGACGUCUAUAGUAUCGAAUCGAGACCCCCGAUUCACAUCUCACUUUUGAAAAAGUUAGCAAGAUGCUCUUGGCACACCGCUCGACUUUAGCACGACAUUGCAUACUCAAAGUGAUGGACAAUCGGAGAGGACAAUUCAUAUUUUGGUGGAUAUGCUUCGGGCGUGUAUACUUGAUUACAAGGGUGGUUGGCAUAGUUGCUUAUCAAUGGCCGAGUUCCCAUACAACAAUAGCUAUCAAGAAAGUAUUGCGAUAACACCAUUUGAAGCUCUCUAUGGGAGGAAAUGCCGAUUCCCUAUUCAUUGGGGUGAAGUGGGUGAAAGGAUCGCUCUUGGUCCAGAUGUAUUGCGAGAGGCGGAGGAAAAUGUUCGCCUUGCCCGCCAAAGGCUUUUGACGGGACAAUCACGGCAACAGAGUUAUGCUAAUGUUCGCCAGCGAAGUCUAGAGUUCGCGGUUGGAGAUCACGUUUCUUUUGAAGGUGUCACCCAUGCGAGGCGUGAAGCGGUUCGGUGUUUGAGGAAAGCUUAGUCCUCGGUACAUUGGACCCUAUAAAAUUUUAGAGCGUGUGGGUUUGGUGGCUUAUAGGUUGGCUCUACCGCCGAAAUUUGAAGGAGUGCACUAUUUGUUCCAUGUUUCUAACCUCCGCAAGUAUGUGCAUAAUUCCUCACAUAUUCUCGAGUAUGAAUCGGUGGAAUUACAAGAGGAUAUGACCUAUAAAGAGUACCCAAUGUGCAUAUUGGCUCGUGAAAUGAGAGAGUUGCGAAAUCGCACAAUUCUAUAUGUAAAAGUGCAAUGGAGCAAUCACAUCGAGCGUGAAGCCACUUGGCAACUCGAGGAGGCGAUGCGUGAGCCCUAUCAUUAUCUGUUUGAUCAGAUGAGCUAAGGUAUGCGUUUAAAUUUCACGGACGAAACUAUUUCUAAGGUGGGAUAUUGUAAUAUAUCGAAUCCCCGAGUCGCGACGCUAACUUUGAUCGAAUUGAUCAAAAUGAGGCAUGAGUGUGAUAAGUGACGUCCCCGAGUUGCCUUGGAGGAGUGGGGACGGGUAGAACUAAGUUUCAGGUGAAUUUACGUGUUUUCGGUGCAAACCGAACGUGAAAACGGACCCCGGAACACUGCUGCUGUGAGACUGCAACUUUGGCAUUGAGUAUCGGAACCAAGCCAAUGCGAUACCAGUACCCAAUAGAAGAGAAAAAUGGGCAGCUCUCGGGUUUGGUGAUGCCGAGCUACAUACCGGUACCUAAGGUUGGGUAUUGGUACCUCGCGAGCAAACCCGAAAGACUAUCUCUUGGGUUUGGGAGGCUGUUUGAGUGUGUACCGGUACCGCGUAGCCAGUAUAGGUACUAGACUGGUUGUGUACCGGUACUGGAAUCGUGUACAAGUACUCUAAGAUGGACCAGAGCUUGCGUAGCUCUCGAGUUGAGUGGCUUGUACUGGUACUGGGAGCUUGUGUACCGGUACUCCAACCCGAGUACCGGUACUCAACCGAAAAAGAGCUGAAUUGUAAUGAUGUAAAAUGGGAAAUGUGAGGGGUCUAAAUGCAAUUGUUGGGGUCUAUAUAAAACCCCAACCCUUACACCUGUUGUUUGCAUGCAAAGAAACACUUCGUUUCUUUCUCCUCAUCUCCUUCUCCUUCUCUCUCUAGACUUGUUCCAUCAAGGUGGAUUGGGAGAGAAAUUGAAGCUAGAACUUGGUGGAUUUGGUGGAGAAGAGGCUCAAGAACAAAGAGGGUCUUGUGAAGCAAGAAGCUAAGGUAGUUUUGUUUGCAAUUUCAUGUUAGGGUUUGAUUUAAAUACCCAAAUUGGUUUAGUUUUGUAAUUCUUGCAUUUCUAGAGCUUUGUUUAUGCUACGAAAUUCCAAGAAAAUUACACUAUGAGAAGUAUAUGUGAACCCUAGGGAUAGAAAUAGGGUUUUGUAGGAAUGGGGAUCUAAUAUGGGUUUGAUCUCUUGUAUUCCUAAUUGUAGGUUAAACCGACUCGUUGGGAGGCUCGGUCGAAGUUCCGACGAGUCUACAACAAGUUAUUGAGGAAAAUACUCAUUUGACUUUCGUUUGUCGUGGGUUGAGAGAAGUAGACGUCUAAAAAUCACGGGACUUGGUUUCUCACACUCCGGCAUCCCUACAAGGUGGGUGGUGGUAUCCGAAGUCUUCGAAUAACCUAUUAUGUCUUUGUCAUCUUGUUGAGCAUAUAUGUAUAUGUAUAGUAUGGCAUUCAUGCAUUGUAGGGUUAAUGUUAUUACGUGGCUAAGAUGUGGGCAAUCUUGUAUGCUUUCAAUGUAGAAAACAUGUGAAAUGAAGGACCAUGACAUAGAAACCCGGUGAAUGCAUGAACAAAAUAUUGAACUAUGAUAAUAGUAAACAAGGUGAUAUUGUGACUAGACGGAAUGAAUAGCACCAAGAAUUAUGAAUGAUAGACAAAGAGAAACUAUGUGAACUUUGUGGCAAUAGUGACAUGUUAUCCUCCAAGUGAGGAUUGGAUUGUACUCACAGGUAGUCUGACUGUUUGAGGGUGGUCGCUCCACCUCAAGCGGUGAGCUCCGGAGUUAGCAUCAAUUGGGCGGUAGCGGAAUUCUCCCCAGCAGACGGUCCCGUCGGGUUGUAGCGGUAUUCUCUCCGACAAAAGGGAUUUGGUUUGGUGAGUUGGGUUUAACCAAAUGAUUAACCAAGUGAUUGGGUAAAGGUAAAGGUAAAAGUGAAAUGCAUGCAUCAUGAGCAUAUAACCUAUCGUUCAGUUCUUGUACAGGCAUUGUAGUAGCAUUAGUUGGUUACCUAUAUGUUCUUUCUUUCUACAUAUGCCUGAGUAGACCUAAUGGGUGAGUCGGCGAGGUCGGCGGCCGAACCCACUGGGAACUUUCUUUAGUUCUCACACCACUAACCUUGCAGAUCCUGGCGCGAGCGGGGCGAUCGAGCAUCGCGGCAAGGGCAUCGCGCCCUAGGUAGUGGGCCUCCUUCGAGUUUAGUUUACACCCUUUUCGGUUUCAUCUUUUGUACUUGAUGAAAUAGAUAUGUAAAAGAGAUGAUGUUAUGUACUUGAAGGAUGUAAUAUGUACUUGGCAAAUGACUGUAAUGGAAUAUGACACAUUGUAUUUUGUUUAAAGUAUUCAAGAUACAAUGAAUGUAUAGCUAGUUCGUACUUUCACAUGCUUUUGAAGUUGCUUGCCCUCGUGCAAGCCAUAUAUAUUGAAAUUAAUCUUGGGAAAAUUCUCUAUACAUGCUUUGUGGUCAUGGAGCCUUGGGCAGACAUGGGAGAUCUGUCCAUUCGGCGUCCGAACCGAUCAAAUUGGCGGUCACGGGGCAUGACAACUCCAUUAGCUAAGACCUUCCGGAAGUGUAGUUAUGGAAGUACCUCGAUUAUUUUAGCUCCUUUAUGCCUUUAGUUAGGGUAGCUCGAUUAUUCUCAUCUCAUGCUUACUAAAGGGGAAUAGUUUGAUCAUUUUCGGUUUCCCAUGAAGGUUAGUAAGGACCAAACCCUAAAGUUGGUCAAGGUUGUUGGAUAUGACAUUGAUAGUUUUUUCUCUAGAACAUAAUGCAUGAAUAUUAGGCAUCGUUGACAAUUUUAUAACUUGGUAGACGCACAGCAAUGGCAUCUAAAUAUGUAUGUUCUUUAUCAUGCUUAGUACGUAGUAGUUUUAUUCAUCUUACUUAUCUCCUACUUAUGUCUCCUUUGGAUCGAGUGUAGAAUGCCAUUUUUGGUGGUUGCACCCUUUAAGAACUUGAAGUUGUCUCCUUUAGAUCGAGUAUAGAUUGCCAUUUUUGGCGAUUGCAACUACAACAAAAACUGUAUAUAGCGACACUUUUAAAUAUCGAUGCAUGUCAAAAAAAAGUGCAGCUGGCUAAAUUACCAACACUUUUUAAAAGUGUUGCUAUAUAUAGGGUCGCUAUAUGUAGGAUCGCCUUGAUGUUUGGCACCCACUCCUUCAGCAACCUAUGGCGGAGGGAUACGUGGCGAUUGUAGCCUUCUACGGUCCCUUCGAGAUCAUCGCGGCUGAACUCCAACUGCUGGAACCUUACCUUGUCAGCUGCGGCGGCGGAGGAGGAGAAGAAGAGAUGGUGAUCAUUUUUUUUCUUCCUUUUCUAUUUGUAAUCGGGCCGAGUGGGCUAGGUGAAGUUGGUUGAGUAAAGGAACUUUUUGUUUUUGAUUGGAUUGAAUUUUAUAUUUAAGUCUUACUAGAUUUUUUUUAAAUGUUUGGCAUAAAUUGGACACUUCGACAAAAGUGUCCCCAAAAAUGUGUCCGUAUAAUCUAAUUCACUUGUAGGGCACCUUUUAAGAACUUGAAGUUCUUACUCCUUUAUUGUUGACAUUUUUACAGAGCCAUCAAUCAUCUAUGAGACGCACAAGCGCGGCAAGAGUUGCGUGAAUCAGAUAGACCACUACCUAGCUACAUCGGCCUAAUGAAGGCACCAUCUUGUAAGAGAGAAAAAUUAUUUUCUUUUUUUUUUUUUGAGAGAGAUAGGUAGCACGCUACCCGCUUCGUUUAUUUCAUCUAGAAAUAAACUUAGCUGAAAAAGUUGGAUACUAGUUAUAAAAAAUCAUAGUAACUAGUGUAGUGACCCACGCGAUGCGGCGGGUAGAUAUAUAUUAUAAUUUUUUAAAAUUUAUUCUAUAAGUUAUUUUGUAAAGAGUAGAAUAUAUUUACUUUAAAAGUUUUAGUAAAUUUAAAGUAUAUUGAAAAGUAUGAAGAAUUUUUUUUUUGAAUAUUCUAAUUUCUAACACUGAAGCGUCACGAUAAGUAUCGAACUACAUUUAUUUCCGAUAACUUUAUAUAGAUACCUUAUUAUAUAGUUAGUGACGUAUAGGUUUAAUUAGAAACAAUAUAAAAUAUAUUUAGUAAACAAAUUCCAACUUAUUCACUAGAUUGCAUUAAGUAUGGCGUUAGGCUGCAUCNUUUAGCAAACAAAUUCCAACAUAUCCAUUAGAUUUCGCUAAGUAUAGAGUUAGGUUACGUAAUAGUUAAUCAUUUCAAAAAUUCUAAACCCGAAUGUAAACAAAUCUAUCAAAAUUAGCAACACAAUCAAAUUAUUAUAUAAUGGAGAAAAUAUGAUUUGUAAACAAAAAUAAACAUAAAAACUUAUAACAUGGAACCAAAAUAAUGAAAACAAAUAUUAAAAAAAAUAUAGAAAUGUUAAAAAAAAUAUUUACCUCAAAUUGAAAAAGUCUGGAAAAAGAAAAAAGGCCCAUAAGCCACAAACCAUGUUAGAUGGCAAGUAAAUAGAUACGGGAGAUAACAAAUCGUACAAUGAAGCAAUAGGCAAUGCACCCCCAUUUCAACCAUGACAUGGUGAGAGUUGUUUAAGAAGAAUUUCUCUAUGAGUGGAGAGAAUAUAGCUUUUGGUCCUUCUCUGGAAAUAUAUGACUUUAAAUUUAGCAAUGACUCAUAUAGUAGAGGCUCAAAUGGAUCCUUACCAUAUAUAUAUCCAUUUGUUCUGCAACAUAUGAACAUCUAUUAGAAAAACCUGACUUUAAACAUGAAUCGUAAAGCUACAAAUUUUGUUCUUUCUUUUCAAAAAAUCAGAGCAAAAUAAACCACAUACUAUGGAGCAAAGCAUCAAAGAUAGGCCUCGAGGAAAUGAACCACUGUUAUGCUCUCUAAGGGAGAACUCAAUCGUGUUCAUGGAAGCCUCCACAGCAUCGAGUGCAAAACCUUCCUCUACUAGACUCUUAAAAGUAUUCACAAUUAAUUCUUCAACUUUACGAACGUCGUCUUUGGAGAGACCAUUCAUUCCAACGGAAAAUAUGGGUUGAGGAAACUCAUUUCCAAUUCCAUUACCAAUAAUAUCAUCUCCAAAGCCACUUUCCAGUAAGAUCUUUCUCAGGGAAGAAGCGGGCGUCCGAAGCAAGAGAUGAUUCAAAAUGCGAAGUUUAAGGUCAGUUUCUACAUCUAACAUCUCUUCAGAUAAAAGCCAUGAUAGAUAUAUCAUGUAUUUCCUUGCAAAGUCACCUUCUUUGCUGACAGGAUAUCUCUCAGUAAUUCUCUUUGGUGUUUUGAACAUUUUUUGAUAUCGAACCUUCAAUGUUUCAGCAGAAUCUCCUUUGAAUAGAUCAAGGUAUACUGAAAUCAGAAAGAAAAGAAGAUUGGAAAAGAAUUGUUUAGUCACAGAACAAACAUUUAGCUAGAGUUAGUUUGCUAAAUUUUAGUACUUGAUUCCCAAUCUUGUAAAACACCACAUAUACAUGAAAAGAUAUUUAAAGUUGUCAUAUUGUCAACCACCUGGAGAAAAGUAAUUUCUAACCAGCUAAGAUACGUAAUCGUUCAUUUGGAUCAUCAUCUCCAUAAAACCAUAUCUUAGCAUUGCUAGGUUUGUAGUGUUUACGGUGGAAUUCCUGAAAGAAAUGUCGAGCAUAUUUUAAGCAUCCUCACACUGAAAAGAUCAUACAUGCAGUAAUGUAAUUAACAGUAUUUGAAAGACCUUGAACAACUCUACGGAUAUUUCAAAAUAAUUAUCAAAUAUCGACCCACAUACCCUUAAUAAAACAAAGAUGCUCCUCCAUUCAAUGUUAUGAUUAAUUCCGCCAUAUAGCAGCCGCAUUCCAUAGCAGUCAAUUGCAGAGUUCCAAUUUUAAUCUUCAUGCUCAUGGUAAGCCCGACCUCCAUUCCUUCAUCUUUACCCAGAAGCAGGAUCAUUAAUUACGUUUUUAUUAAAAUAUGUAUACAAUAUAAGCGCGCAGGCAUGAAGAAGGGAAACAAAGAAGUAAAUGCCAAAUAUCAAUGGCUCUUAUAGUGAAGCUCAGCAUAGUCAAACUACGGAAGAGAAUAUUGAGUAAAAGUAAAAACACAUGACUACUAUGAUCAUUAAUCAGAUAAUGAAUGUAAAAAGGGUGCAAUUUGUUUACAGAUGCUACGAAAUAAAAAAUGUGUGCUAAAAUGUUACCUCUAAAUUUCGGACGGAGGGGUCGGUGAGGGCGUGGCCGCGCGAGGGCGGAGCCGCCGCGGAAAGCUCGUCGGGCCGCCAGAGCCUCAUGGUCUCGUCGAGUGAGCCUGUGAGGAGGAGCGCGGGGCGGGAGUUGGUGGCAGGGACCCACGUCGCCGCCCAGAUCGACUCGUCGUGGGCGUUCUCCACCGAUCUGAGCCUCGCAAGCUUCGUGGCCGCACCCCACCCCCCACGAUCGAGAGAGCUAGGGUUUCGAGGAAGGGGAGAGAUCGAAGGGAUAAAGGGGAUCGAAGAAAAGGGGCGGAGAGGAGACGAGAAGAGGAGAGAUAGGGGGAGCAACCGGAUCGAAGCGGCGCAAGGAAUAAUAGGUGCUAUCGAAGAGGCGGGGGGUACAAAGUGGAGACGCGUAAGGAGAUGAAGCGGUGGAUUCAAUUAAGCUAAGACUUAAGGUAAUUAUGCCACAUGGAUUCAAUUACAGGGAUUAAUAGGUUUAUAUAGAUAACUAGUCUAACUCUUAUACUUUAUUGUCCAUGAUUUUGUAGGUAUCAUACGGGUUGUUGUGUGCUAAUGCCCUGUGCGAGUUAGAAAAAUCCUAUCCAUUCGGCAGGUUUGUUGCACGCGCCUGGAAAGUUCCCACAACAUAACAUUAAUUUUAUAAUUCCACUACAAAAUAACAAAAUGUGCAAAUGUAGGCUUCCUCAGGUAUUGCCUUUUAUUUGUUAAAUAAAAUAUUCAUACAAAAAAGUAUAUAAUCGGAUCGUAGAUUACUCACAAUCAUUGCAUCAAUGAUGUUCUAACCAAUAACAAAAAAGUAAAAACUGCAAAAUUUUAUUUUUUGCUUCUUUAGAGAGUCAACACACAAUCUAUGUUGCAUCACAAUCGAGUCAAACAUAAAUAAGAAUAAAGAAGUCCAUUCGACGGCAUGACUGGGCAAAUCUGUUUAUGGCCCAAAAACCUCCUCCUUACACAGUGGGCAGAUCUGUUUCAGCAACAAGUUGAAAACUUUAGAUCUUACCAUGAAUAAAUUGCUCUAUUCACAUUACAAUAAAUACACAGGGCUUGUGAAAGUUGAUAAUGAUCCAAAUUCUCAAAGAAGAAGAAGAAGAAAGAAAGAGAAAACUGAGCUAUAACUGAUCACUUAUUUAUUUAUUUAGACUGUCAAAUGGUUAGACCAGUAAUUAAUGGUUUUAUACAAAGAUAAUAUUUGAAAUGAGCAUAUGCAUUGAUUUAAUAACAUGAUGCAAACAGAUUAUAAAAUUUGUAAUUUGUCUAAGAUAUAUACGUAAGAUUGCUCCAUUAAAUCAAAAUAUAUGUCAAAAAAAAAAAAAAAAAACUUUCCAAGAUGAUUAUGGUAUUUCAUUUUGUUGUUGCUUACACUAAAAAGUUUUGCUUAGGUUAAACUCUGCGAUCAUGAUGUUAUUCCAUUGAAACCUUACAAGAACCUAUAUUGAUAUUGUAGCGCAAUAGAAAAGAAUUUACGUACCUUGUUGAUCUUCAACCAUGGAGUUAUACAGUCUGCAUGGUAAACAUGAUUACACGGUCGUAAAUAUAUUCGCCAUUGUCCGUUUCUAUAUUCUGACAAACAGAUUGCGCAUCUGCAGUAAGAAAAGACCAUUAUCAAAAGGGAAUGAAGUACCAAACAAACAAUCCAUGUAAAACAUAAAUAUUGCAACAAAAGAUUAAUUCAAUUUAGUAAAAGUUCACAGAAGCACAACAUCCUCAAGCGUCCUAAUAAUAUCAUCAAAUUUAUACUUUUUAUUGAUCACUUGUAUUCCGGAUCAGUGGGUUCACCCGCAGAACAUGCACAAGAAAGGCCACCGGAAUUUCAUAUUUCAUUCUUGAAACUAAAAUACAUGACAACUCCUUUUAAUUUAAACAUCAUCAUAAUUGUAUCUGACAGAACUCAAAUUAGUAGUGAAAAUAAAAAAAAAAAAAAAAACUAUACAUAAACCUUGUAACAUUUAAAAUAUUUGGACAUUCCAAUCUCAACUUUUCAAACUUGAUUUACAUAAACCUAUGUUUAAGUUAGACAAUAAAUAAUGAAUGUUCAAGUAACUUAAUAGAUUCUGACUGUAUUUGGUAUACAAUUUCAUGCUUAAUAUUGAUGCAUGAUAAAAUAUUGUUUUGUCAUCAUAACUUGACUGAUCUCCAAAAUUGGUUUAAGAGUUUUAUAUUGUUCCCGACAAUUAUGAAAGUGUCUACAAUUGAAGUAAUGCUGGAUGCUAAUAAUGGAUAUUACAACUGAUCUCGGAGGAUCUAGCAAGAUAGUCAAGUUUCACGUAGGGACAGACAUCAGCGUCCUUAAUUUAGAGGGCAAAUAUUCCCCAUAGGGCUCCAAUUGAGGAGACGAUCUUAUCUUCGCACUUCCAGAUUGAAGAGAAAUAGAUAGGUUGGCAACCAAAUUUAUUCUAAAGCUUUGGAGCAUUUCGCUGAGAACUCCAAAGUUGCAAUCAAAGUUAGCUAGGCCUUCAAUUUAUAGAAACAUUGACCAUGAAUAAUUUCUUAUCCAUAAGAAAUAAGAGUUUGUUCUAAGUCGAUUUUGAUGCAAUUAACUCUUUCGAGAUAUGAUGUAUGAAUAUCUUUUUUUUCCCUAAAGAAUUAGGAGGCUGUUUUAAAUCAAUUUUCAUAUAGAGAUACACUUUUAAGAUAUAAUAUAAGCGGUUUGACCUUAUAUAAACUGAAGAUACAAAUUUCGAGAACCAUUGAAGAUUCUUGAUUUUGUGCCGCCUUAGUAGAAAUAGGACUCAAGGCCUUAUCUACAGAACCCUUUAUAAUCAAUUGUUAAUAAAAUGGAUUAAUGGCACCAUUAGUCCCCAACCUUUUCACCUUUUUUUCACUUUACUCCCAACCUUUUUUUUUUUUUUGUGCAAUCUAGUCUCCAACCUUUUCAUUACAAUUAGGUUCCAACCAUUAAGAAUGCUGUUAAAAUUGACGGAGUGCGCAAUGUCAGCGCCAACACCUACGUGGCUUCUCUAGCCACCAAAGGAAAAAAAAAAAAAAAGAAAAAAAAAAAAAAAAAAGAAAAAGAUGAAAAGGUAGGGGAACAGUUGUGGAAUUGAACUUAAAAUUUUAAAUUUAAACAAAAAAUUUGAAAUUAGGAUUAGAAUUAGAAUUUAAAUCCAGUAUUUUGAUUUAAAAUAAAUUAGAAAAUUUGCAUUAGAAUUCAAAUUUUGAAUUUGAAUUUUCAUUUCAAAUUUUAGAAUUUAACAUUCAUAUUCGGAAUCAAUAUUAAUUGACUCUAAGUUUGAAUUCGAACUCAUAAUCAAAAUUUGAAUUUUAAAUUUAAAUUUUAAAUCUAAAUAUGACUUUCUUAUUUGAAUUCGACAACUCAAUUACAUUUCAAAAUUUAAAUUCAAAAUGAAAAAUUGAAUUUGAAUUUAAAAUAGUAAAUUCUAAAUCUGAAUGUGAAUUUCGAUUGAUAUUUGAAUUAAAACUAUGAAUUUGGGAUUUGACUAAAAUUUAGAGUCAAUAUUUUUUCCAAAUACCAAAAAUAAUUUUCAAAAUUUAUAAUCAAAAUUCAAGUCUUAUUUUAUUGUCAAAUUUAAAAUUUGAAUUACAAUCAAAUUUCUAAUUGAAGUUAAAUAAAAAAUUGUAGCUAUAAAUUCAAAUUUUAAUUUUUAAUUUUUAGAUUUUUCGUUUAAAUUAAAAUUUUAAUUCUAAUUGCAUCAUUGAUCUCCAACCUUUUCUCAUUUUUUUCACUUUGGUCCCUGGCGCUGACGUAGAACAAUCAGUUUAAUUCUAAUUGCACCAUUGAUCCCCAUUCUUUUCAAAUUUUUCUCUCUGGUCCCUAGCACUGACAUUGCGCAGUUAGUCAAUUUUAAUAGCCCUUUUAACAAUUGAAACCUAAUUAUAAUGAAAUGAAAAGGUUGGGGACUUGAUUGCAAAAAUAAAAGGUUGGGCGACCAAAGUGAAAAAAAAAAAAUGCAAAUUAAGUUAGAGAUCAACAGUACAAUUAGCCCUAAUAAAAUUGAGCAAUCUUCCACUCCCAAGCUUCUUUUAUGGAGAUCAUAGAUCAGCAUCAACAUACGGACCUUUAUUUAGAUAUCUUCUUACACAUCUCAAAAAACUAUCUACCUUAGAAUCAUACUGAAUAAGAUAUUCUAGCAUCCAAAAGGUCUGAGUGAGUUGAUAGUUAUGCUCCGAAUUACUAAUUUGCACAAAACAGGAUGUAGAACAGACAAACAUAGGAAACUAGUAUAUAGCGUACGUUGUUCAAAAACAUGAAAGGAUAUAUGGAAAAUAAGAACUUCAGAUAUAUUAAAAUUGGUAAGUUUCUAGAUAGCAGAAUAUCUACCUAUGAUGUACGCAAUAAUUCAGAUACAUGAAUAUGGAAGGAACUAGUUGAAACAUACUUGUCAUUAUUCCGUUCUCUUGAGAAGAAGCCACGCUCAUACUUUUCAAUCGGCAAGUAGGAGAUAACCUCAUCAGAUAAUCCUCUACUUUCAUUGCCUACUUCUUCCACUAAUGAUGCUCUUUCCUUCAAUAGCAAAAGAAAUGGCUUAUCUAAUUUAGAGAUAUAUAGACCAAAACUAUGAAGUUCACAAAAAAAUAUGCAGAAGAAUCGAGCUAUAUAACUCCGUUUGUAAGUUGUUUUCGAUGAUGGGACAUCUGAUUCGACGAUUGGCUCCGCUAGAUAUGAUCUACACUAUUAGAACUAUUUAGAAAUCAAAAUUUAUAAUUUUUUGAUUUCAUUUGCCUAGUGAACAAGUAGCCUCAAAAUGAACGGCUGAAAAUAAAAAUCUUAUAAAAAAUAAUUAUAAAAGACUCAAAUUUCAAAUUGAAAGUAUUGUUAUUGCUUUUGAUGUUAACUAGAAUUUUCUGUUAAAGUUUCAUGUAAUUUGAAUUCUUCUACACCGUUGAACUUACAAACAUGACAUAUCGGCCGUUAAAAUAGUCACUUUUUAGACCCUUUGAUCACUUGGUAAACGAUGUAAAAAAAUUAUGAAAUUUGUCUUCUAAUUAGCUCUAAUACCGUAGAUCAUAUUUAACGGAACCGAUCGUCGAAUCGGAUGUCCUAUCAUCGAAAAAAUUUACAAGUACAAAGGCCUUUGUGCUUUCGAAAGCACAGGAGGCGUACUCUAUGUAUGUAUAUAUAUAUAUAUAUAUAUAUAUAUAGAGAGAGAGAGAGAGAGAGAGAGAGAGAGAGAGAGAGAGAGUACGUCUCCUACGCUUUCGAUAGGACAGAAGCCUCCGUACUUGUAAGUUAUUUUCUAUGAUAAGGCAUCCGAUUCGACGACAGGUUCAAUUAGGUAUAAUCUACGCUAUUGGAACUAUUUAGAAAUCAAAUUUUAUAAUUUUUCAACAUCAUUUACCAAGUGAUAGUCUCAAAAAUGACUACUUUAACGGUUGAUGUGACGUGUUUUUAAGUUCAAUGGUAUAGAACACUCUAAAUUACAUGAAACUUUAAUAGAAAAUUUUACUUAACAUCAAUAGCUAGAUCAAUGUUUCUGAUUUGAAAUUUGAGUCUUUCAUCAUUUUUUAUGAGAUUUUUAUUUUUAGCCGUUCAUUUUGAGGCUAACCAUUUACUAGAUAAAUGAAGUUCAAAAAUUGUGAAAUUUGGUUUCUACAUAUAGUUCCAAUAGUGUAGAUCAUGUCUAACGGAACUGAUAUGCAUUAAUAUUACAUAAAUAAAACGAUUACAUGAUAAGUUUUUGAUGUAACGCUACAAAAAAGACUAAAAAAACCAAAAUGCUUACUUACGUAGUACCUUUUUAGUGUAAAGAAGUGACAAAAUAUGAGGAAAUUUUAAAUAAAAAUUUUUAGUAGUAAAAUAAUCGAUAUUGUCAUCGAAUAUGAAAUUUCAACACACUAGUUUGUGUGGAAAGUCCUUAAUUAUCUCACUUAGGCCGGCACUCUCAUAAUCCAUAAUAAAGAUCACUGAAAAGUACGUGAUAUUCAUGUAGCGUUUGGUUCAGGUAUAAGCAAGAACUAGCUAUUACAGGGAUAGGUACAAGUAUGGGGAUAAGAAAAAUAGCGUUUGGAUGAAAAUUGGGUUGUUCUCGGGAAUAAGAAAAAUAGCGUUUGAAUAGAUAAUAUGGAAUAAGAAAAAUAGUAGGUAGUUAUAUAUAAAAAAUGGAGGUAUUGGUGGGGAUAGUUAUACCUGGUUAUUAUAGGUAACCGAGAAUUACUAUUCUGGGGUAAAAAAUUAGCGUUUGGGUAUAAAGGGGGGGAUAAGGGGUUAUUC